UAUUUACUAAGCUACAUACACUAGGAUGAUCUUUUCUCUUGACGAGGAGGGCUAGGGUUCCAGCCGAGAGGGAAGAGAGAAAACCCCAACUUGAACAAAUUUUAUAUUCCAAGGUGCGUGUACAAGUAUGUAUAUCCUUUUACAAAUAUGCAAAUCGUGCAUUUAGAUACCAUAACGGGAUACAAUGACCCUGAUGAUCAAUCACGAGCUUAUCAAGCAUGCAUGCACGAGCGAGGGAGCCCAUGCAAUGGAUGGAUGCAUCAGAUGGGGCAGGUGAAGUUGGUUGGGCACUUCUUGCCGCACUGGUUGAGGAGGAGGGUCAGGUCGAUGGGGACGUUGAGCUUGAUGCCGANNNNNNNNNNNNNNNNNNNNNNNNNNNNNNNNNNNNNNNNNNNNNNNNNNNNNNNNNNNNNNNNNNNNNNNNNNNNNNNNNNNNNNNNNNNNNNNNNNNNUCGGAUAGGAAAAAAUCUGAAAAUAUAAUAUGGAUGAACAUAUGAAAGAAUUAAAGAAACACACCUUGCUUUAUCACUAGGUAUAGAUAUACUCUUUGGUGAAUAGUAACCUAAAAUUGAAUUACGAGAAUUCUGAAUUUAUUUGUCAGCGUGAAAAAUUAAAUUAACUGUAUCAUUUGUCUUUUGACUUGUUUUUUUGCACAUGUCAACACGCUUAAGCUUUCCCAUUAAAAAAAUGCAGGUGGCAUUUGGGUGUGAUAAUAAACACAUAUAUAUUUUUAAAUUUUAUUUGAAGUUGAUAAAAUACAAUUUAACACGCAACAACAUAUAUAUACUAGCCGAAAGUAAUAUCUGUAUAAUGUGUAACUAUUUUGUUUUACUCAAUAUUUUUUUCAACUAAAUCUUCUAGGCUCUAUCUUGUACCACGACGUUCAAGCAGUAUUGAAAUUAGGACCGCCUAUACGUCAGAUAUAUGAAAAAAGAAUCUGUGUCAGCCAAUUUUCUAAGCCGUUGGAUGGCAGGAUCGUCCCUUCGUUCGGCCUCGCACAAAACACAUUAUGACUGACGCAAAAAAAAUACGUGUCCAUCCGUGCCAAUGAGCCAGUAUAAUAAACCUGUGGCCGACACAUGGCAUGGUGGUUGGUGAUGCAGUGGGCCAGCAGGGUCUGGCAGCGGAGAUCGUGGCGCGUUCCGGUGGCGACAGGGCCGACUGGUGGCACCGGCGGGUUCCCACAGGCAGGUUGGUGGCGACGCUGGGAUGGCUUGGUCAUAAUCGAGUCUUGCGAGCAGCGAGCGGUCGGUCACUUCUAUGCAGCGUGGCAAGCGGUGGUGCUGGCCUGGGUUGCGUGGAGAGGCGGGUCUGAUCGCGGCAAGACCGUCCCUUGGAGUGGGUGACGGCCAUUGUAGGCGGUCCUGGACCUGGCUGGAGGUGCUGGUCGGGUGCGGUUCCUUGUGCAGGCUGGGAGUGGAUGGUGUGGCUGCGGUUUCCCUGUCUGGUGGUUGGUCCUUGGUCCUUAGCUUUGCAGCUAUAUCGGCAAGUGUUGCGGUGGCGGCGGUAUGAAGCUUCUUGGAUAGUGCUACCAAGUCCAUGGAGGUGAGGUGGUGGGCUACGCGCGGAUGAAAAUCUUGCACGGCUUAGGUCGAGCCGGUGUUGGUGACACCCGUGGAUGUCAUUUCCUUCCUUGGAGGCAUCGUCGAGCGUGUUUGCCACCUCCUUCGUCCUCCAGGAGCUGUUAGGAGCAUUGUGUUUGAAGACAAGGCUGACUCCUCGUUGCUCUACUUCGGUGUCCGCCGCGGUCCUUGUUUUGAUCCUAAGUGGCACUAUAUAUGUCUGUCACCGGUUGUUCAAGACGGUGACUUUUCGGUGUGGAUCGAGUCCUGUCAUUGAUCUGCAUCUUUCUCUCACGCACUAAGGGUGGCUGGUGCGUCGACAAGAGACACUCUGCGGAAGUUAUUUGGUCUUCGGUGUUGUUCGGCGUCAGUCAAGACGCGGUGCUUUGUGUCGGUUCAGGAUAAGCUCUUUUGCAUUGUAGCUCGGUGGACGGUGCGGUUUAUCUUUAGGUUNNNNNNNNNNNNNNNNNNNNNNNNNNNNNNNNNNNNNNNNNNNNNNNNNNNNNNNNNNNNNNNNNNNNNNNNNNNNNNNNNNNNNNNNNNNNNNNNNNNNGAGUCCAAUUUCUUGCCGAAACAGAUACAUCUUCGUUUUCAAGGUCUGAAACAGGCUGAUAAACAUCCCUUAUGUACUCCUCUGGAGUUAUGACAUUGAUGAUAUUGGUCUCAACAUUUAUGGGAGUACCAGAGAUGUAAUGCUUGAUUCUUUGCCCAUUUACCACUCUAGGAAAAUUUCCUUCCGUGUUAUUGAUUUUGAUGGCACCGGAACGAUAUACUUCCUCGACAACAUAGGGACCUUCCCAUUUAGAGAGAAGCUUGCCUAUAAAGAAUCUCAACCGAGAAUUGUAUAGCAAGACAUAAUCACCUACAUUGAACUCUCGUUUCUGUAUUCGUUUGUUGUGCCAUCUCUUAACCUUUUCCUUGAACAACCUGGCAUUCUCAUAUGCCUGGGCUCUCCAUUCAUCCAACGAGCUGAUAUAAAACAACCACUUCUCACCGGCAAGUUUGAAAUCAAAGUUGAGCUCUUUGAUUGCCCAAUAAGCUUUGUGUUCCAGCUCAAGAGGUAAAUGACAGGAUUUACCGUAAACCAUUUUAUACGGUGACAUGCCCAUGGGAUUCUUAUAAGCAGUCCUAUAAGCCCAUAGUGCAUCGUCAAGUUUGCUUGACCAGUUCUUUCGACAUCUAUUGACGGUCUUUUGUAGGAUCAAUUUGAUCUCCCUAUUACUCAACUCCACUUGACCACUAGACUGAUGAUGAUAAGGAGAUGCAACUCUAUGGUUGACAUCAUACUUAGCUAGCAUCUUGCGGAAAACACCAUGAAUGAAGUGUGAACCGCCAUUAGUCAUCAAGUAUCUAGGGACUCCAAAUCUUGGGAAUAUGACUUCUUUAAGCAUCUUAAUAGAGGUGUGGUGAUCAGCAUUUUUAGUGGGGAUAGCUUCUACCCACUUAGUAACGUAAUCCACAUCAACUAAGAUGUGAGUGUACCCAUUGGAACUCGGGAAGGGUCCCAUAUAAUCAAAGCCCCAGACAUCAAAUGGUUCAAUGACAAGUGAAUAGUUCAUAGGCAUCUCUUGACGCUUACUGAUGUUCCCUAUCCUUUGGCAUUCGUCACAAGACAAGACAAACUUACGGGCAUCCUUGAAGAGAGUGGGCCAAUAGAAACCUAAUUGCAAUACCUUAUGGGCAGUUCUAUCUCCAGCAUGGUGUCCUCCGUAGGCUUCGGAAUGACACUUCUACAGGAUCUGUCCAUGUUCAUGUUCAGGCACACAACGUCUAAUAACACCAUCUACUCCUUCCUUAUAAAGGUGAGGAUCAUCCCACAAGUAGUGUCUCAAAUCAACGAAGAAUUUCCUCUUUUGUUGAUAGGUGAAACUGGGUNNNNNNNNNNNNNNNNNNNNNNNNNNNNNNNNNNNNNNNNNNNNNNNNNNNNNNNNNNNNNNNNNNNNNNNNNNNNNNNNNNNNNNNNNNNNNNNNNNNNCUUGCCGGUAAACGAGGUUGAAAUAGGUAUACGGAUACUGACGAUCGAAUCUCGGGCAAAUAACAUACCGAAGGACAAAGGGAAUGACAUACGGGAUUAUACGAAUCCUUGGCACUGAGGUUCAAACGAUAAGAUCUUCGUAGAAUAUGUAGGAUCCAAUAUGGGCAUCCAGGUCCCGCUAUUGGAUAUUGACCGAGGAGUCUCUCGGGUCAUGUCUACAUAGUUCUCGAACCCGCAGGGUCUGCACACUUAAGGUUCGACGUUGUUUUAUGCGUAUUUGAGUUAUAUGGUUGGUUACCGAAUGUUGUUCGGAGUACCGGAUGAGAUCACGGAUGUCACGAGGGUUUCCGGAAUAGUCCGGAAACGAAGAUUGAUAUAUAGGAUGACCUCAUUUGAUUACCGGAAGGUUUUCGGAGUUACCGGGAAUGUACCGGGAAUGACGAAUGGGUUCCGGGAGUUCACCGGAGGGGGGCAACCCACUCCGGGGAAGCCCAUAGGCAUUUGGGGGGGUCACACCAGCCCUUAGUGGGCUGGUGGGACAGCCCACCAAUCCCCUAUGCGCCAAGAGAGAAAAAAUCAAAGGAAAGAAAAAAAAAGGAAGAAGUGGGAAGGGGGAAGGACUCCCUCCCACCAAACCAAGUAGGACUCGGUUUGGGGGGGGGAGAGUCCUCCCCCUGGCUCGGCCGACCCCUUGGGGAUCCCUUGGACCCCAAGGCAAGGUCCCCCUCCCUCCUCCUAUAUAUAUGGGGCUUUUAGGGCAGAUUUGAGACGACUUUCUCACGGCUGCCCGACCACAUACCUCCAUAGUUUUUCCUCUAGAUCGUGUUUCUGCGGAGCUCGGGCGGAGCCCUGCUGAGACAAGAUCAUCACCAACCUCCGGAGCGCCGUCACGCUGCCGGAGAACUCUUCUACCUCUCCGUCUCUCUUGCUAGAUCAAGAAGGCCAAGAUCAUCGUCGAGCUGUACGUGUGCUGAACGCGGAGGUGCCGUCCGUUCGGUACUAGAUCAUGGGACUGAUCGUGGGAUUGUUCGCGGGGCGGAUCGAGGGACGUGAGGACGUUCCACUACAUCAACCGCGUUCACUAACGCUUCUGCUGUACGGUCUACAAGGGUACGUAGAUCACUCAUCCCUUCUCGUAGAUGGACAUCACCACGAUAGCUCUUCGUGCGCGUAGGNNNNNNNNNNNNNNNNNNNNNNNNNNNNNNNNNNNNNNNNNNNNNNNNNNNNNNNNNNNNNNNNNNNNNNNNNNNNNNNNNNNNNNNNNNNNNNNNNNNNUUCGCCACCUUUGCUCAAAGGGCCCAUUUCAUCUCCUCUCUGUGAGAAGAGUUUGCACCUUCUUCUCAGCCUCAAUCUUAAUAUUUCUAUCGGACAUAUUAAGAAGUGUAGACUUUGGUUUCACAUCUAACUCAUUAGUGAGCUGCGUCGGCCUCUCUUUUUCCACUUUGUAUAUGCCACUUUGAUUCUUGGCCCAGCCUCUCAAGUAGAAUUUAGUGCAGCACACUAAUUAUUAUUGACUGCGGGUUCAAAGUAGAACUUACUCGCACCACGCAUAUGCAUGUUUGUUAGCAUCUAAAUAUAUUUUGAGUUUAAUUCGCGGAUCACCUUAGUAUUUUAUAUAACCAUCAUCAAUUUUCCUUUUUGAUGGUGCAUUAUUGUAGCUUAAGCUUAAAAAAUCCAUCCAAAUGUGUUACUAUAGUUGUAACCCAUUCUACAUAUAUCUAAGAAAUUGAUCACCACUAACUUAUUUAUCUCAAUAUACAAGCAUAUGCCAGAUCACCAUAUAAUGGACAGGAUAAGAUCUACCUCAGCAUGCAACCAUGUAUCAAAAAAGACCCAAUACCACACGCUACCAUGGAGGUCAAAAUAUUUUUCAUUCAUUUUUUAAGAAAAGGAUCAGAUCUUCUAUAAAAGUUCAUCAAAAAUACAAAGCAUCUCAAACAUAAUAAAAAUUAGAAUGAGAUUCCGAAACCACCGAAUAACCACUAUUACUGACAGAACGUGUCGCCGAUGCAUUGUUGUUGCCGCUCCCCUACUGGAGCAAACUUGACACUGACGAUGACAACCGACAUAUCUUCCCGCACAUGCACGUAAGGACCAACACCCUGGCACCAUAGUUGUCGUUAUUGAACCAUUUCAUAGAUCUGAAGCAACAUGCACCAAAUCUCGUCAGAUGAUGAGAAACCCUAACCUCAUCGCGAGGAGAAGACAACAUGAUUCUACGCCGGAGCUCCGUCGACUAUAUCUAGACGGACAAAAACUUAAUGAGAAUGGGAGCCUAAAAAGAAGCGUCACCAUCCUUCCGAACGCCACAAUGAUAACAACACCGCCAACAACAACCAAGCCUUUCAGUCCCAAAGAAGUUGGGGCAGGCUAGAGUUGAAACCCAGAAGAUCUCGAAGCCAAGUCAUGGCUCUGGAACGUGGAUAGCUAACUUCCNNNNNNNNNNNNNNNNNNNNNNNNNNNNNNNNNNNNNNNNNNNNNNNNNNNNNNNNNNNNNNNNNNNNNNNNNNNNNNNNNNNNNNNNNNNNNNNNNNNNAACGUAGCAAGCAAAGAGUAACAAGUAACAAGUAGUAGAAACAGUGCAGCAAGUGUCCCAAUCCCUUUUGUAGCAAGGGACAAGCCUGAACAAAGUCUUAUAGGAGGAAAAACGCUCCCGAGGACACACGGGAAUUUCUGUCAUGCUAGUUUCAUCAUGUUCAUAUGAUUCGCGUUCGUUCCUUUGAUAGUUCGAUAUGUAGGUGGACCGGCGCUUGGGUAUUGCCCUUACUUGGACAAGUAUCCCACUUAUGAUUAACCUCUCUCGCAAGCAUCCACAACUACAAAAGAAGAAUUAAGACAAAGUCUAACCAUAGCAUUAAACUAGUGCAUCCAAAUCAGCCCCUCACGAAGCAACGCAUAAACUGGGGUUUAAGCUUGUGUCACUCCAGCAACCCAUCAUCUACUUACUACUUCCCAAUGCCUUCCUCUAGGCCCAAAUAUGGUGAAGUGUUAUGUAGUCGACGUUCACAUAACACCACUAGAGGAAAAACAACAUACAUCAUAUCAAAAUACCGAACGAAUAUCAAAUUCACAUGACUAUUAUCAGCAUGACUUAUCCCAUGUCCUCAGGAACAAAAGUAACUACUCACAAGACAUAAUCAUAAUCAUGACCAGAGGUGUAAUGAAUAGCAUCAAGGAUCUGAACAUAAACUCUUCCACCAAGUAAUCCAACAAGCAUCAACUACAAAGAGUAAUCGACACUACUAGCAACCUUACAAGUACCAAUCGGAGUCGCGAGACGAAGAUUGAUUACAAGAGAUGAACUNNNNNNNNNNNNNNNNNNNNNNNNNNNNNNNNNNNNNNNNNNNNNNNNNNNNNNNNNNNNNNNNNNNNNNNNNNNNNNNNNNNNNNNNNNNNNNNNNNNNUGGAUAGCUAACUUCCACGCACCCCUGUCCAUGGCUAAGUCGUUGUCGAUAUUCCAAACCUUCAGGUCUCUCUUAACGGACUCCUCCCAUGUCAUGUUUGGUCUACCACGACCCCUCUUAACAUUCUCAACAUGCUUUAUCCGUCCGCUAUGCACCGGCGCUUCCGGUGGCCUCCGUUGAAUAUGUCCAAACCAUCUGAGACGAUGCUGGACCAGCUUCUCUUCAAUUGGUGCUACCCCAAGUCUCUCUCGUAUAUCGUCAUUCCGUACCCGAUCCUUCCUUGUGUGGCCACAUAUCCAUCUCAACAUGCGCAUCUCUGCUACACCUAACUGUUGGAUAUGUCGUCUCUUGGUUGGCCAACACUCCGCGCCAUACAACAUCGCAGGUCGGAUAGCUGUCCUAUAAAACCUGCCUUUUAGCUUUUGUGGCACUCUCUUGUCACAAAGUACGCUAGAAGCUUGGCGCCACUUCUUCCACCCAGCCUUGAUUCGGUGGCCCACGUCUUCAUUGAUAUCGCCAUCCUUCUGCAACAUGGACCCCAAAUAUUGAAACGUCUCUCUCUCCGGUACCACCUGCCCACCAAGGCUAACCUCUCCAUCCUCGUGCCUAGUAGCACUAAAACUGCACCUCAUGUAUUCGGUUUUAGUUCUACUAAGCCUAAAACCUUUCGAUUCUAGAGUCNNNNNNNNNNNNNNNNNNNNNNNNNNNNNNNNNNNNNNNNNNNNNNNNNNNNNNNNNNNNNNNNNNNNNNNNNNNNNNNNNNNNNNNNNNNNNNNNNNNNUGCACUCUGCAGCAGACAACAUGCACAUAGGAGUACUCUUCUUGAAAACUAAAGGAAAGUCUCGUGGCACAGCUCUCAGGUUUUUGUUCAUUAGCGAACACAUUAAGCUCCAAUGAUGGAUGUCACACACGUAACAUGCCAGUACAAUAAUGGUUGCACAUGAGUUUUGGAAAGUACCACGGCAACACGCAAACUAACUACGUCGAUUGAUAAUGACAUGAACGAGGCACUUGCACACCCCACCCGGUCUAUAAGUACCACGCCAAACAACCCAAGAAAACCAUCCCAAGCUAGCAUAGCCUACAAGCUUAAUUAGCCACAUACCAAAGGGCCUCCUGCCUGGGCUCACCGCACCGGCCACGUGGAGGCCCAUCUGUCCCGGUUUAUGCAAGAACCGAGACUAAAGGUUUAGGGCAUUAGUACCGACACUUUAGUCCCGGUUCAAAAAACGGGACAAAUGGCCCUCACGAACCGGGACAAUAGGUCCUUUUUCUACUAAUGGGAUAAGCUCUUUUGCAUUGUAGCUCGCUGGACGGUGUGGUUUAACUUUAGGUUUGUCCUUNNNNNNNNNNNNNNNNNNNNNNNNNNNNNNNNNNNNNNNNNNNNNNNNNNNNNNNNNNNNNNNNNNNNNNNNNNNNNNNNNNNNNNNNNNNNNNNNNNNNGGAUCCAAUAUGGGCAUCCAGGUACCGCUAUUGGAUAUUGACCGAGGAGUACCUCGGGACAUGUCUACAUAGUUCUUUAAUCGGACUAUUGACUUUAGGUUUAUGGAACGAAAUAUCAAGGGGUUUCUAGAAAACAUAGAAGAUUUUCUGGACUCACUUAAAACAGGACAGUAGGUCGUUUAACCGAAAGGUUAGGAUGUUUUUAGUAAAAUACAAAAUAUUUUUAAGAUUCACUUAAAAUCAGGACCGUGAAAGAAACAAUUGGGUUUAUUUGUUUCCAAAAGGUACGACGGACGGGUAGAGACAUUUAUCCUUUUAUUAAUAAGUAUAGACAUAGACUAGUGAUCUAGAAUAAAUGUAUUAUACUCCCUCCAUUUCUAAAUAUAAGUGUUUCUAGAUAUUUUACUACGAACUAUAUACGGAUGUAUAUAGACAUAAUUUGAAUUGUAGAUUCAUUUAUUUUUAUUGGUAUGUAGUUCAUAGUAGAAUAUUUGAAAAAAAACUUAUAUNNNNNNNNNNNNNNNNNNNNNNNNNNNNNNNNNNNNNNNNNNNNNNNNNNNNNNNNNNNNNNNNNNNNNNNNNNNNNNNNNNNNNNNNNNNNNNNNNNNNAAAAAUCUUGCUGAAGAUUUUCUUCUUCUCCAAUGCCACCUUUUACAUCUUGACGUUCUAGCUGAUCCAUCAAAAAUUCAAGGAUGCAUGCAUCGUACUACUGAUUAAUCCGCAAGACAUAGGUACACUGGUAGAUGUCAUAAGUGCCUGCAGGCAUACUUACGUUUUUCUUUAUACAAUCGCAGAUGUUCAUAGCUCACGUAUACACGUACAUACACUCACCUAUAUAAACAUACACACGCAUCCUAUAUCUAGAGGGCCUCCAAGAUAUUGAGUUAGCACAACAUUUGAGAUUGACGAAGUUAUCAGAGACGUUUCAUGGUAGAUGGAAACAUCUUCUUUCACUGAACGAACAUCGCCAUGUGACAUUUAUCGUAAGCAGUUCAAACUUAUUAAGGAAAGAGUUGAAUAAAAAUAGAAAAUUUUGAGCAUUGGUGACAAGUCUAACUGGUGGUCUGAUUCCACCACAAGUAACCUAACUAUUUUACCUAUGCUCAAAUCGCUACUUAAGUUAGCAUAAUAUAUUCUAUAGUGAAUAUGUACAAAUCAUCCAUUGUUGUAUCUUGUUGUGGCAUCUAACUGACUCACCUGUUCAUAGAAGGACACACAGAAUAAUAAUAAAAAGUGAAUUCCGGUUUUUACCUUCUAUUUUAACAUUUUUGACACUACUUACCCGAUUUAACGGGAUUUCAUCCGUUUUAACCCACUUAUCAAAAAUGUUCCCAAAAUUUACCUUGCAUAAAAUUUUGUGAGCGUUUUGACCGAUGGGUCUCAAUUGUAAAGUUCAACUGGCAUGUCACAUCAGUGGGGUUUUUCUCAUGGUUUUUCUGCACGUCGAACCACAUCGCCUGCCAUCUCCUGACCGGUCAGGCUCGAUAUGAUUCCAACAGAGCAGCUCCCCGGAUGGCCAAGUCGCCCAGGUCGGGCCACACCACACCAUCCUCCGUUGUUCACUACACGCAUCGCUCGCAUUCCAAUCACACGCAAGAUCCCGCCAUAGUUUGGCCAAAAAUUGAUGUCUCAUUUGCUAGGAGGGGAAGGACGAGGUAGGGGACGAGCGGCAGGCAAAACUUCAAGGCAUGGCUAUUGGCAAUCAUCGGAGCCAAUACGACAAUCUUCUCCCCUCCCAUGCAUGGCUCCAUCCUCUCCAGCUCAACCCAGGUGGUUAUGUUUUUAUGGCUAGAUUUUCUCUCUGUCCGAGAUGCAUAUUUGAUAGGUUUAGGCUCCUUGUUUCCGGUUCGAAGAAGUAUGGUGAUGAAAUGACCUUACUUCAUAAGUAUGGCAUGAUCCCAUUGAAUAAAUUGUAGGAGAAAUUGUUACUGAUAUAAUCAUGUAUGUUUUUCUACAACAUUGUCAUGUACGGCCCUAAGUAUGCAUGAUUAUGUGGAUGAGAUUAAAACUGGUGUGUAAAUAUACUACUUCGCUUACUUUGAUGUACGUACGUAUCUAAAUACCUAGUCAAGUAGCGAAUGUGUUGACCUGUAGUGAGUCGGUAUAUAUUUCCCAAGCUACUCUGUGCAAUCAUAUCGUGUCUGAACGAUCAGGAAAAUUUAUGGCGAUGUGGUUCGGUAUGUAGAAAAAACAUCACAAAAACCCCGUCGAUGUGGCAUAUGCCAGCUGGACCGUACAAUUGGGACCUAUCGGUNNNNNNNNNNAGGGUAAAACGGAUGGAACCCGCUUAAUGAGGUAAUUAGGGUCAAACAUAUCAAAACAGGGGUAAAAACCGGAAUUCACUCUAAUAAAAAAUUGGUCAAGUUGUGUUAACNNNNNNNNNNCAGAACAUUUAUAAAAUCUUAAACAGGGUAAAUUGUGACGACACAUUUGUUAAAUGGGAUAAAACGGAUGGAACCCGUUUAAUGAGGUAAUUAGGGUCAAACAUAUCAAAACAGGGAUAAAAACCGGAAUUCACUCUAAUAAAAAAUUGGUCAAGUUGUGUUAACUCGGCCUGUGAUAUAUGGCAACUUAUUGUGUAGUAUGUACGCAAGUAUGCAAGAUUGAAUGAAUCAUGAUACAAUCAACGUAUUUUGGCAUUCACUUGCUACAUCUUGUUUCUGUUCUUUUUUUCCUGUUUUUUAUCAUCUUGUGUUAACUCCGCCUAUGUUAUCUCAGCAUAGCCGGUCNNNNNNNNNNGUGUUCUUUUUUUCUUGUUUCUUAUCAUCUUGUGUUAACUCCGCCUAUGUUAUCUCAGCAUAGCCGGUCCCAAGACCGGGUAAAGGAGGAGGGUUGUGAUAGGCGUGGCGAGCCAACAUGAAAAACCCAGCCACUCUUAUGGAGAUGAAACCCAAAGGAAACUCGUUGGGGGCGUAACCCUCUUAGCGACGGGCCACAUCGGAACCCGGGUGUGGUGUCAAAUGGGCAAGGGCCGGGCCGUCACCCCCUUGGUGGCGCGCCGUAUCUUGAUCUGGAUACGGUGAUAAGUGAGCAAGGGUCGGGUCGCCGCAUCCUUAGUGGCGCGCUNNNNNNNNNNAGAGAUGAAACCCAAAGGAAACUCGUUGGGGCGUAACCCUCUUAGCGACGCGCCACAUUGGAACCCCGUUCUGGUGUCAAAUGGGCAAGGGCCGGGCCGUCACCCCCUUGGUGGCGUGCCGUAUCUUGAUCUGGAUAUGGUGAUAAGUGAGCAAGGGUCGGGUCGCCGCAUCCUUAGUGGCGCGCUGCACCGACGCCCCGGUGUAGUAAAAAAUGAGCAAGGGUCUUCGCAUUUGACUCGGCGAGUGCGGAGGGUAAGGAAGUUAGCCGAGCCUAGGAGGAUACGCUUAGGUAGCUGGAACGUAGGGUCCCUAACGGGUAAGUUACGGGAGCUAGUUGAUACGGCGGUGAGGAGGCGUGUUGAUGUCCUAUGUGUCCAAGAGACCAAAUGGAAGGGACAAAAGGCGAAGGAGGUGGAGGAUACCGGCUUCAAGUUGUGGUAUACGGGGACAACUUCAAACAAGAAUGGAGUAGGCAUCUUGGUCAACAAGAGCCUUAGGGAUGGAGUUGUGGACGUUAAGAGGCAAGGGGAUUGGAUGAUCCUUGUCAAGCUGGUAGUUGGGGACUUAGUCCUCAAUGUUAUCAGCGCGUAUGCCCCGCAAGUAGGCCACAAUGAGAGCACCAAGAGGGAGUUCUGGGAAGGCCUGGAGGACUUGAUUAGGAGGGUACCUAUUGGUGAGAAUCUCUUCAUAGGAGGAGACUUCAAUGGCCAUGUGGGUACAUCUAACACAGGGUUUGAAAGGGUGCAUGGGGGCUUUGGCUAUGGCAUCAGGAACAAAGAAGGAGAAGAUGUCCUGAGCUUCGCUCUAGCCUACGACAUGGUUGUAGCUAACACCCUCUUUAGGUAGAGAGAAUCCCAUCUAGUGACGUUCAGUAGUGGUCUACACUCUAGCCUGAUUGAUUUUGUCCUCUCUAGAAGAGAAGACAGACGCGCUUGCAUUGAUUGUAAAGCGAUACCUGGAGAGAGUGUUGUCCCUCAACAUAAGCUUGUGGUUGCUGACUUCCGCUUUAGGAUUCGUGUCCAACAGGAUAAGCAUGCCAAAGUUGCUAGAACGAAGUGGUGGAAGCUCAAGGGGGAGGCAUCCCAGGCUUUCAGGGAGAGGGUCAUUAAGGAGGGCCCUUGGGAGGAAGGAGGCGAUGCAAACUUGAUGUGGACGAGUAUGGCGACCUUCUUGCGGAAGGUUGUUGUAGAGGAGUUUGGGGUGACCAAGGGAAGUAGAAGGGAAGCUAAGGACACCUGGUGAUGGAACGAUGAGGUCCAGAAGGUUAUUAGGGAGAAGAAGGACUGUUUCAGAUGCCUAUAUCUGGACAGGAGUGCAGCUAACAUGGAGAAGUAUAAGGUGGCAAAGAAGGCUGCAAAGCGGGCGGUGAGUGAAGCGAGAGGUCAAGCGUAUGAGGACCUCUACCAACGUUUAAACACUAAGGAAGGUGAAAGGGACAUCUAUAAGAUGGCCAAGAUUAGGGAGAGGAAGACGAGGGAUGUCGGCGAAGUCAAAUGCAUCAAGGACGGAGAUGAUCAGCUUCUUGUGAAGGAUGAGACGAUCAAGCGUAGAUGGCGGGAGUACUUUGACAACCUUUACAAUGGAGAGGUUGACAGCUCUACCAUUGAGCUAGACGACUCCUUUGAUGAUACCAGCAUGUGCUUUGUGCGAUGUAUCCAGGAGUGUGAGGUUAAGUACGCGUUAAAAAGCAUGAAAGUAGGCAAGGCGAUGGGUCCUGAUGGUAUCCCCAUCGAGGUGUGGAGAGGCCUUGGAGACAUAGCGAUUGUAUGGCUAACUAAGCUUUUCAACCUCAUUUUUCGGUCAAACAAGAUGCCCGAAGAAUGGAGGCGGAGUAUUUUAGUACCAAUCUUUAAGAACAAUGAGGAUGUUCAAUGUUGUACUAAUUACCGCGGAAUCAAGCUGAUGAGCCAUACUACGAAGUUAUGGGAGAGAGUCAUUGAACACCGCUUAAGAAGGUUGACAAGCGUGACCAAAAACCAAUUUGGUUUCAUGCCUGGGAGGUCUACCAUGGAAGCCAUCUUCUUGGUAUGACAGCUGAUGGAGAGAUACAGGGAGCAAAAGAAGGACCUUCAUAUGGUGUUCAUUGAUUUGGAGAAGGCCUAUGAUAAGAUACCUCGGAAUGUCAUGUGGUGGGCCUUGGNNNNNNNNNNAUCGAUCAACUGGCUAGCCAACUAGAGGCAUGCUAGGGACGGUGUUUUGUCUAUGUAUCCACACAUGUAAAUGAGUCUUCAUUCAAUACAAUUAUAGCAUGGAUAAUAAACUAUUAUCUUGAUACAGGAAUUAUAAUAAUAACUAUACAUUUAUUAUUGCCUCUAGGGCAUAAUUCCAACAAUAUGGUGUUCAUUGAUUUGUAGAAGGCCUAUGAUAAGAUACCUCGGAAUGUCAUGUGGUGGGCCUUGGAGAAACACAAAGUCCCAAUAAAGUACAUUAUCCUCAUCAAGGAUAUGUAUGAUAAUGUUGUGACAAGUGUUCGAACAAGUGAUGGCGACACCGAUGACUUUCCGAUUAGAAUAGGGCUACACCAAGGGUCAGCUUUGAGCCCUUNNNNNNNNNNCCCUCAUCAAGGAUAUGUAUGAUGAUGUUGUGACAAGUGUUCGAACAAGUGAUGGCGACACUGAUUACUUUCCGAUUAGAAUAGGGCUACACCAAGGGUCAGCUUUGAGCCCUUAUCUUUCUGAUUUGGUGAUGGAUGAGGUCACAAGGGAUAUACAAGGAGAUAUCCCAUGGUGUAUGCUCUUUGCGGAUGAUGUGGUGCUAGUCGAUGAUAGCCGAAUGGGGGUUAAUAGAAAGUUAGAGUAUGGAGGCAGACUCUAGAAUCGAAAGGUUUUAGGCUUAGUAGAACUAAAACCGAAUACAUGAGGUGCAGUUUUAGUGCUACUAGGCACGAGGAUGGAGAGGUUAGCCUUGGUGGGCAGGUGGUACCGGAGAGAGACGUGUUUCAAUAUUUGGGGUCCAUGUUGCAGAAGGAUGGCGAUAUCGAUGAAGACGUGGACCACCGAAUCAAGGCUGGGUGGAUGAAGUGGCGCCAAGCUUCUAGCGUAGUCUGUGACAAGAGAGUGCCACAAAAACUAAAAGGCAGGUUUUAUAGGACAGCUAUCCGACCUGCGAUGUUGUAUGGCGCGGAGUGUUGGCCAACCAAGAGACGACAUAUCCAACAGUUAGGUGUAGCAGAGAUGCGCAUGUUGAGAUGGAUAUGUGGCCACACAAGGAAGGAUCGGGUACGGAAUGACGAUAUACGAGAGAGACUUGGGGUAGCACCGAUUGAAGAGAAGCUGGUCCAGCAUCGUCUCAGAUGGUUUGGACAUAUUNNNNNNNNNNNNNNNNNNNNNNNNNNNNNNNNNNNNNNNNNNNNNNNNNNNNNNNNNNNNNNNNNNNNNNNNNNNNNNNNNNNNNNNNNNNNNNNNNNNNUCUUGUUUUUUAUCAUUGUGGCGUUCGGAAGGAUGGUGACGCUUCUUUUUAGGCUCCGAUUCUCAUUAAGUUUUUGUCCGUAUGGAUAUAGUUGACAGAGCGCCGACGCAGAAUCAUGUUCUCUUCUUCUCGCGAUGAGGUUAGGGUUUCUCGUCAUAUGACGAUUUUGUGCAUGUUGCUUCAGAUCUAUGAAAUGGUUCAAUAGCGACUACUAUGGUACCAGGGUGUGGGUCCUUACGUGCAUGUGCGGGAAGAUAUCUCGGUUGUCAUCGUCAAUGCAUCGGCGACACGUUCUGUCAGUAAUAGUGGUUAUUUGGUGGUUUCGGAAUCUCAUUCUAAUUUUUAUUAUUUUUGAGAUGCUUUGUAUUUUCCAUGAACUUUUAUAAAAGAUCUGAUCAUUUUCUUAAAAAAUGAAUGAAAAAUAUUUUGCCCUGCAUGGUAGCAUGUGGUAUUGGGUCUUUUUUGAUACAUGGUUGCAUACUGAGGUAGAUCUUAUCCUGUCCAUUAUAUGGUGAUCUGGCAUAUGCUUGUAUAUUGAGAUAAAUAAGUUAGUGGUGAUCAAUUUCUUAGAUAUAUGUAGAAUGGGUUACAACUAUAGUAACACAUUUGGAUGGAUUUUUUAAGCUUAAGCUACAAUAAUGCACNNNNNNNNNNUGUGAUCACUGUCUUAGAUAUAUGUAGAAUGGGUUACAACUACAGUAACACAUUUGGAUGGAUUUUUUAAGCUUAAGCUACAACAAUGCACCAUCAAAAAGGAAAAUUGAUGAUGGUUAUAUAAAAUACUAAGGUGAUCCGCGAAUUAAACUCAAAAUAUAUUUAGAUGCUAACAAACAUGCAUAUGCGUGGUGCGAGUAAGUUCUACUUUGAACCCGCAGGCAAUAAUAAUUAGUGUGCUGCACUAAAUUCUACUUGAGAGGCUGGGCCAAGAAUCAAAGUGGCAUAUACAAAGUGGAAAAAGAGAGGCCGACGCAGCUCACUAAUGAGUUAGAUGUGAAACCAAAGUCUACACUUCUUAAUAUGUCCGAUAGAAAUAUUAAGAUUGAGGCUGUGAAGAAGGUGCAAACUCUUCUCAGAGAGAGGAGAUGAAAUGGGCCAUUUGAGCAAAGGUUGCGAAGGUGCACCCGAAGAGAAUUUUGUUUUUCUGGAUUAGAGCACAACAAGUGACAUUCCUCAACCCAGUUCAGAUGAGAACGAGGUUUUGCCAGCCCCAUUUAGGGAUGAAGAGAUGUUUGACACAAUAUCACAAAUGAAGCCAAAUAAGGCACCGGGACCAGAUGGGUUUCCGAUGGAAUUUUAUAAAAAGUGUUGGCAUAUUAUUAAAGAUGAUAUUUUGCAUAUGUUCCAUGAUUUGUUUAAUGGGCAUUUGCAGCUAUUCCACCUUAACUUUGGAAUAAUAAUGGUGUUUCUAAAGAAGGUGNNNNNNNNNNNNNNNNNNNNNNNNNNNNNNNNNNNNNNNNNNNNNNNNNNNNNNNNNNNNNNNNNNNNNNNNNNNNNNNNNNNNNNNNNNNNNNNNNNNNUCAGUUAAACUCAAAAUAUAUUUAGAUGCUAACAAACAUGCAUAUGUGUGGUGCGAGUAAGUUCUACUUUGAAUCCGCAGGCAAUAAUAAUUAGUGUAGUGCACGUAAAUUCUACUUGAAAGGCUGGGCCAAGAAUCAAAGUGGCAUAUACAAAGUGGAAAAAGAGAGGCCGACGCAGCUCACUAAUGAGUUAGAUGUGAAAGCAGAGUCUACACUUCUUAAUAUGUCUGAUAGAAAUAUUAAGAUUGAGGCUGAGAAGAAGGUGCAAACUCUUCUGAGAGAGAGGAGAUGAAAUGGGCCCUUCGAGCAAAGGUGGCGAAGGUGGACCAUGGAGAUGAUAAAACACAAUUCUUUCACAUGAUUGGGAAUGGCAAACAUAGGAAGAAGAAAAUAAUUCAACUUGAACACGAUGAGGAUAAAAUUGUAGGAAAUGAGAACCUAAAAUUGUACAUCUCCGAGUAUUAUAAGAAACUUUUUGGUGCAUCCGAAGAGAAUUUUGUUUUUCUGGAUGAGAGCACAACAAGUGACAUUCCUCAACCCAGUUCAGAUGAGAAUGAGGUUUUGUCAGCCCUAUCUUUAGCCGAUUUGGAUGGUAAACUAAUAAUUGGCUAGGUGUAUAGGCAUCGUAGAUUACUUAUGGUUUCGUCGAAUGUGACAUCAUUUAUUUUCUAUACUUUGUGUUUUGCUCAUAUUGUGAGCUAAUUGUUGCUGCAUUACUUUGCUCUUGAACUUAUUUAGUAAUAAUAUGGUUGCAUGCAUCGAUUGAUGCAGAGUUUGAAGGCUACGUGCCUCCAUUAAAAAAAGUAAAUUCUACUUUGAACAUGCGGACAAUGAUAGUUAUGAUAUGGUGACCCUUCGGACAAGAUUUUGGUAUUUGCGAAUGCUGAGGUGUAUUCCGUCCGGCACCUAGCAAGGCUGCAGGAACCACACCUUAUUUGUGAAGCAUAGGUUUUACCUAGGUCCGGAUCCUUGCAUGAUGACUAACAACACUAACCAUGUUUGUCUGGAAUUACAUUCUCAAGGAGUUACAGAGAUCAAGAACAUGAUGUGCUCGUCAGGUUCGUGGUGAACUCGACGAAUAGGGGGUGGACUCUAGAUCAUGUCCCAUCGGCUAGGCUAAUCUAGCAGUCUUAAGACUUCAGGUGCUUUCAAAUCAAAUGGAAGAUGUCUUUGCUUCCAUGGCCAUUCGCAUAUUUACCAAUAUCUUGGUGGUUAGGCUUUGCCGACUUCCUCAUGGUCUCAUUGUUCUUCUUCCCUAUGGAUUCUUGAUAGCCUUGAGGGCCUUCUGGUAAGAAAUUACCAGGGGUGGCGCAUCCAUGGAAGUCAGUACUCUGGACAAUCCCCCCCCCCCCCNNNNNNNNNNNNNNNNNNNNNNNNNNNNNNNNNNNNNNNNNNNNNNNNNNNNNNNNNNNNNNNNNNNNNNNNNNNNNNNNNNNNNNNNNNNNNNNNNNNNNNNNNNNNNNNNNNNNNNNNNNNNGAACAUUACGGUAAGUAUGGAAAUUCACUUCCCCUCGACACCAUUUUAUUUGGACUAUAUUUUAGAUUCACAAAUUGGCGUUCAACCAGGUUUAAUGGUUCANNNNNNNNNNNNNNNNNNNNNNNNNNNNNNNNNNNNNNNNNNNNNNNNNNNNNNNNNNNNNNNNNNNNNNNNNNNNNNNNNNNNNNNNNNNNNNNNNNNNGAGACAAGUCUGACUCCUCGUUGCUCUACUUCGGAGUCUGCCGCAAUCCUUGUUUUGAUCCUAAGUGGCACUAUAUAUGUCUGUCACCGGUUGUUCAAGACGGUGACUUUUCGGUGUGGAUCGAGUCCUGUCAUUGAUCUGCAUCUUUCUCUCACGCACUAAGGGUGGCUGGUGCGUCGACAAGAGACACUCUGCGGAAGUUAUUUGGUCUUCGGUGUUGUUCGGCGUCAGUCAAGACGCGGUGCUUUGUGUCGGUUCAGGAUAAGCUCUUUUNNNNNNNNNNAGUGUGGAUUGAGUCCUGUCAUUGAUCUGCAUCUUUCUCUCACGCGCUAAGGGUGGCUGGUGCGUCGACAAGAGACACUCUGGGGAAGUUAUUUGGUCUUCGGUGUUGUUCGACGUCAGUCAAGACGCGGUGCUUUGUGUCGGUUCAGGAUAAGCUCUUUUGCAUUGUAGCUCGGUGGACGGUGCGGUUUAUCUUUAGGUUUGUCCUUGUGAUGUUCGUGCUAUGCAUCAAGUGAUAGCUUUUUUCAUUGAAAUUAUGUCUUUACCAGAGUACAAAAGGUAUCNNNNNNNNNNNNNNNNNNNNNNNNNNNNNNNNNNNNNNNNNNNNNNNNNNNNNNNNNNNNNNNNNNNNNNNNNNNNNNNNNNNNNNNNNNNNNNNNNNNNAGUCCUAGUUUCAAUACUGCUUGAACGCCGUGGUGCAAGAUAGAGCCUAGAAGAUUUAGUUGAAAAAAAUAUUGAGUAAAACAAAAUAGUUACACAUUAUACAGAUAUUACUUUCGGCUAGUAUAUAUAUGUUGUUGCGUGUUAAAUUGUAUUUUAUCAACUUCAAAUAAAAUUUAAAAAUAUAUAUGUGUUUAUUAUCACACCCAAAUGCCACCUGCAUUUUUUUAAUGGGAAAGCUUAAGCGUGUUGACAUGUGCAAAAAAACAAGUCAAAAGACAAAUGAUACAGUUAAUUUAAUUUUUCACGCUGACAAAUAAAUUCAGAAUUCUCGUAAUUCAAUUUUAGGUUACUAUUCACCAAAGAGUAUAUCUAUACCUAGUGAUAAAGCAAGGUGUGUUUCUUUAAUUCUUUCAUAUGUUCAUCCAUAUUAUAUUUUCAGAUUUUUUCCUAUCCGACGUUAUAUUUUCAUAUCCAUAUUAUAUUUUCAUAUUGUUGUGCUGCAAGUUCGAAGUUCAUUUGUUGUGCUAUAUGGGAAAAACAAAAAAAAAAGUACUUGCACGAAUCGCGAUGUGGAAUUGGAUGGCUAGAUAGGGGGAUGCCUAGAAGCCUAAGCUCCACAAUAUAUUUUCGUGGUAAUUUGAUGGCACCAAUGCUCCAACGCAAAUUUUAUACAUCAAGGUUAGCUUCUACAAUCUAUGCUGUUAUAGUAGAUGUUUCAGAGAAGCAGUUCCCUAUAAAUUAUUGGUGGUUAAAUUUUUUUAGACAUCAAGAAGCAUUCAUAAUUUUGGCAGCAACAAUUAUAAGGUGCGCCAUACAAGCAUUACUAGUAUAAUAUCCAUGCAUUGCCACGGGCUAUGAAUAUAUUUUUAUCAGUUGCAAACAUAGUCACAAUACAUGUAAAAAUUUACAUGCAUAGAAAUUAUAGCAUGUAACGAUGAGAAGUAAUUAAAAUCCACUUCAGUAAUCCAAUUAAUUAUCUUUUACAAAUAAAGAUCUACUUGAUGUGUUUAACAUAGUUUUGUACAAUGUGAGGAAUGUUGUCUUCAACUUCAUUGCAUGGCACAAUGUGAGCCGCAUCCUUAUUUUGAUGAGUUUUAAAUUGUGUAUAUAUAUAUUUUCUAGAAAUGACUUGUUAUGCUAUGUGACAUUGAUGUCAACGUAUAGAAGCUCCUCCUUUUUACUUUUUNNNNNNNNNNNNNNNNNNNNNNNNNNNNNNNNNNNNNNNNNNNNNNNNNNNNNNNNNNNNNNNNNNNNNNNNNNNNNNNNNNNNNNNNNNNNNNNNNNNNNNNNNNNNNNNNNNNNNNNNNNNNNNNNNNNNNNNNNACAGCUGCCUUCUACUCUUCCCGCACAACCAACCAGACACCAAUUGUCACCGCAUCUCAUCUCCCCGCCAGAGAGUAUCCACCGCCAUCUCCCCCAGACACCUCCCCUCCAUGCCAUGGCGAAGCCCGCCCACUCCUCUCCCCAUCAUCUGCCCUCUCAUCCAUGGCUCCGCCGCCUCGACGCUGAGCUAGCCCACCGGUCUAGCAUCGUGGAUAGUUGGGUCCUCCCUGGAGGUGCAAAAGGGAUCGCAACCGUCUGUUAGUGCUAGCCAUGUAGCUGACCCAUUCGUAUGUGAGUUGCACAACCUCAUGUGGCACUGCGAGGAGGGAUACACCUUCAUCAUCGAGGUUGCUCACCCCAGGCCGAUUUCCGGUGCCAUGGAGUGCACGUUGUCAUGCUAGGGCAGCCGCCAAGGAGAUGCGACCUUCUAAUCAUUUUCCUUGCCCAAACCAUUCAAAUCCGAUGUAGCUGCCAGCAUGUCUAUCGUUCCUAUCGAUUAGCUUUAUGGAUUACAUGAGAAGACUUUUACGUGUGCGCGCGUCGCAACACGUGAUAGGCUUGCAAGCGCAAUCCUAAUCCCCCUAAUUUUAGUUGUGAAGCUGAAUAUCUAAUCUCAUUAAUCCAUCUCCCUUGAUUUUCAGAGCAUGGAUUUCUAUGCAUCUCUCCAAUCUCUUGUCCCAGAUUUUUAGGGAAAGUUUANNNNNNNNNNGGCUGAAUAUCUAAUCUCAUUAAUCCAUCUCCCUUGAUUUUCAGAGCGUGGAUGUCUAUGCAUCUCUCCAAUCUCUUGUCCCAGAUUUUUAGGGAAAGUUUAAUAGCAACCUGAUGAGAGACGACCUCUAGUUCAUGCACAUGCCAUUUCCUCAUACUAUCUGAAGGGAGUAUCAAAAUCAUAAUUGCGUAGCUUUUAGUUUUUUGCUAAAAGUUUAGGCGCAUCAUUUUUUUUGCGCCGGGCAUGAAGGAAAAACAUUUAUCUAGACAUUUGAAAGAUGCAGCAGUGAGACUCUCAUAACAACCAGUUCCGAUUGAACAUACAACCCUUGAACAGGGUGGAGCCCCGCCAUAGGUCCACUAUAUUGGUUACAAAUUUACAAUUCUCUAACAACUUUGUGCCAUUUUUGGACUAUUUGUUAAAACUAAGAUGAUAUUUAAGUUAAAUUAUAUUAACUGACACCCCACUACUAUGAUCGUAGGCUAGUCAUUUCCAUGGGACAUGCAAACUAGUUAUACUAAAAAAUGCAAACUAGUUAUACUAUAUUGGUUACAAAUUUACAAUUCUCUAACAACUUUGUGCCAUUUUUGGACUAUUUGUUAAAACUAAGAUGAUAUUUAAGUUAAAUUAUAUUAACUGACACCCCACUGCUAUGAUCGUAGGCUAGUCAUUUCCAUCGGACAUGCAAACUAUUUAUACUAAAAAAUGCAAACUAGUUAUACUAUAUUGGUUACAAGUUUACAAUUCUCUAACAACUUUGUGCCAUUUUUGGACUAUUUGUUAAANNNNNNNNNNNNNNNNNNNNNNNNNNNNNNNNNNNNNNNNNNNNNNNNNNNNNNNNNNNNNNNNNNNNNNNNNNNNNNNNNNNNNNNNNNNNNNNNNNNGGGACAUGCAAGUUGAUCGUCCUGUCAUGCAAUUAGUCUAUGAAGUCUACGCGGUGCUAGUAUUCUGAUAUACAUUGCGGGUCUGGUUAUUCUAUUUUCUUGUAGUGUAGUAUGACCAGUCAAGUGUUCACAUGUAUAUUUAAUUUUCCAUGUUGGCAGGGUUGCGUGUUAGAAAAAGGCAUAUCUAUAUAUGCACGUCAUUACGGCAGGGUUGCCUAGCUAGCUGUACGUGUGAUGGAUGAACUAGGAUAUACUAAUGUGGAUUCAUCCAGAACUUGCUAUCUCAAGCUGUCUGAAUUUCACAUAUUGUUGGUGUUUCACUAAUCACAUAAAGAUACUACUUGUAAAUUAGUACUUCCUCGGUUCCUGAAUAUAAGUUUUUUUUCUUCAAAUAUUCUACUAAGAACUACAUGCCAAUAAAAAUAAAUGAAUCUAUAAUUUAAAUUAUGUCUAUAUACAUCCGUAUAUAGUUCGUAGUAAAAUAUCUAGNNNNNNNNNNAAAUAUUCUACUAUGAACUACAUACCAAUAAAAAUAAAUGAAUCUACAAUUCAAAUUAUGUCUAUAUACAUCCGUAUAUAGUUCGUAGUAAAAUAUCUAGAAACACUUAUAUUUAGAAAUGGAGGGAGUAUAAUACAUUUAUUCUAGAUCACUAGUCUAUGUCUAUACUUAUUAAUAAAAGGAUAAAUGUCUCUACCCGUCCGUCGUACCUUUUGGAAACAAAUAAACCCAAUUGUUUCUUGAAAUCAACGCACGGUCCUGAUUUUAAGUGAAUCUUAAAUUUUUUUUGUAUUUUACUAAAAACUUCCUAACCUUUCGGUUAAACGACCUACUGUCCUGUUUUAAGUGAGUCCNNNNNNNNNNUCACGGUCCUGAUUUUAAGUGAAUCUUAAAAAUAUUUUGUAUUUUACUAAAAACAUCCUAACCUUUCGGUUAAACGACCUACUGUCCUGUUUUAAGUGAGUCCAGAAAAUCUUCUAUGUUUUCUAGAAACCCCUUGAUAUUUCGUUCCAUAAACCUAAAGUCAAUAGUCCGAUUAAAGAACUAUGUAGACAUGUCCCGAGGUACUCCUCGGUCAAUAUCCAAUAGCGGUACCUGGAUGCCCAUAUUGGAUCCUACAUAUUCUCCGAAGAUCUUAUCGGUUGAACCUCAGUGUCAAGGAUUCAUAUAAUCCCGUAUGUCAUUCUCUUUGUCCUUCGGUAUGUUACUUGCCCGAGAUUCGAUCGUCGGUAGCCGCAUACCUAUUUCAUUCUCGUUACCGGCAAGUCUCUUUACUCGUUCCGUAAUACAAGAUCCCGUGACUUACACUUAGUCACAUUACUUGCAAGGCUUGUGUGUGAUGUUGUAUUAUCAAGUGGGCCUCGAGAUACCUCUCCGUCACACGGAGUGACAAAUCCCAGUCUUGAUCCAUACUAACUCAACAGACACCUUCGGAGAUACCUGUAGAACACCUUAUAGUCACCCAGUUACGUUGUGACGUUUGAUGCGCACAAGGUAUUCCUUCGGUGCUAGUGAGUUAUAUGAUCUCAUGGUCAUAGAAACAAGUACUUGACACACAGAAAACAAUAGCAAUAAAAUGACACGAUCAAUAUGCUACGUAUAUAAUUUGGGUCUUGUCCAUCACAUGAUUCUCCUAAUGAUGUGAUCCCGUUAUCAAGUGACAACACUUGCCUAUGGUCAGGAAACCUUGACCAUCUUUGAUCAACGAACUAGUCAACUAGAGGCUCACUAGGAACAGUGUGUUGUCUAUGUAUCCUCACAUGUAUUUGAGUUUCCAAUCAAUACAAUUCUAUCAUGGAUAAUAAAAGAUUAUUAUGAACAAGGAAAUAUAAUAAACUAAUUUAUUAUUGUCUCUAGGGUAUAUUUCCAACAAUAUAUACCAACUCACUACGAGGUCAACAUAUUCGCUACUUGACUAGGUAUUUAGAUAUAUACGUACAUCAAAGUAAGUGAAGUAGUAUAUUUACACACCAGUUUUAAUCUGAUCCACAUAAUCAUGCAUACUUAGGGUCAUACAUGACAAUGCUGUAGAAAAACAUACAUGAUUACAUCAGUAACAAUUUCUCCUACAAUUUGUUCAAUGGGAUCAUGCCAUCCUUAUGAAGUAAGGUCAUUUCAUCACCAUACUUCUUUGAACCGGAAACAAGGAGCCUAAACCUAUCAAAUAUGCAUCUCGGACUGAGAGAAAAUCCAGCCAUAAAAACAUAACCACCUGGGUUGAGCAGGAGAGGAUGGAGCCAUGCAUGGGAGGGGAGAAGAUUGUCGUAUUAGCUCCGAUUUUGCCAAUAGCCAUGCCUUGAAGUUUUGCCUGCCGCUCGUCCCCUACCUCGUCCUUCCCCUCCUAACAAAUGAGGCCCUGACCGGUCAGGAGAAGGCAGACGAUGUGGUUCGACGUGCAGAAAAACCAUGAGAAAAGCCCCACUGAUGUGACAUGCCAGUUGGACUUUACAAUUGAGACCCAUCGGUCAAAACGCUCACAAAAUUUUAAGCAAGGUAAAUUAUGGCAACAUUUUUGCUAAAUGGAUUAAAACAGAUGAAAUCGCGUUAAAUCGGGUAACUAGUGUCAAAAAUAUUAAAAUAGAAGGUAAAAACCGGAAUUCACUCUUUUUAUUAUUAUGUGUGUCCUUCUAUGAACAUGUGAGUCAGUUAGAUGCCACAACAAGAUACAACAAUGGAUGAUUUGUACAUAUUCACUAUAGAAUACAUUAUGCUAACUUAAGUAGCGAAUUGAGCAUAGGUAAAAUAGUUAGCUUACUUGUGGUGGAAUCAGACCACCAGUUAGACUUGACACCAAUGCUCAAAAUUUUCUAUAUUUAUUCAACUCUCUCCUUAAUAAGUUUGAACUGCUUACCACAAAUGUCACAUGGCGAUGUUCGUUCAGUUAAAGAAGAUGUUUCCAUCUAUCAUUAAACGUCUCUGAUGACUUCGUCAAUCUCAAAUGUUGUGCUAACUCAAUAUCUCGGAGGCCCUAGUAGAUAUAGGAUGCGUGUGUAUGUUCAUAUAGGUGAGUGUAUGUAUAUGUACGUGAGCGCAUCUGCCAUUGUAUAUAUAAAAAAAAACUAUGCGUGCAUGCACUUAUGACAUCUACGAGUGUACGUCUUGCCUUGCGGGAUAAUCAGUAGUACGAUGCAUGCAUCCUUUAAUUUUUUAUGGAUCAGCUAGAACGUCAAGAUGUAAAAGGUGACAUUGAAGAAGAAGAAAAUCUUCAGCAAGAUUUUUAGUUUUAUCAAGGAUCAUCNNNNNNNNNNNNNNNNNNNNNNNNNNNNNNNNNNNNNNNNNNNNNNNNNNNNNNNNNNNNNNNNNNNNNNNNNNNNNNNNNNNNNNNNNNNNNNNNNNNNNNNNNNNNNNNNNNNNNNNNNNNNNNNNNNNNNNNNNNNNNNNNNNNNNNNNNNNNNNNNAGCUGGCAUAUCACUAGUCGACUUAACCCAACUUGAACAACCUUUCUAUUCCAGGUACGUGUACAAGUAUGUAUAUCCUUUUACAAUAUGCAAAUCAUGCAUUUAGAUACCAUAACGUGAUACAAUGACAUUGAUCAAUCAUAAGCUUAUAAAGCAUGCAUGCAUGAGCGAGGGAGCCCAUGCAAACGCCUGACAUAUGAACUGUAACAGUGCGCGCGUAUGACAUGCAAUAGCUACGAGUAAAUCGAUGGAUAGAUGGAUCACAUGGGGCAGGUGAAGUUGGCGGGGCACUUCUUGCCGCACUGGUUGAGUNNNNNNNNNNGGUUCGAUUUGAAAUUGUCCAUUAAGAUGAAACCAAUAUAGGAUUUAAUCUUCCCAGCCACACGAUGCGGAUGAUGCAAAUUCUCACCAUUUCUUAUAUUAUUUCUUUUAUCCGAGAUGUGCCAUAUAGCCACAGUAAAGUACAAUGCGUGAAGAUCUGGUGCAACAUUUAUCCAUUCUAGCAAUCAUUGAUGAAUAUUGAUAAACCUUUUUAGAUUUAGCACGAUAUGAAAAGACCUUUCAUAGUUUGCCCAAAAAUUCUUUGACAUAAUGGGAAAAGAAGAAACAAUGUUCCACAGUCUCAACUCUAUUACAGAUAAAACACUCAUACCUCGUAGGAAAUGUUCCACAGUUUCAUCAAUGUUCCUCACCAGUAGGUAAAAAAUUACGAACCAUUCUCCAUAAGAUGAUCUUCAUUCUAUUUGGACUUUGUAUUUCGAGUUUUUGCUCUAUAUUUUUCCUGUUUCCUCCAUGUUCGAGGCUGAUCCUCUUCCAUCAGAGCUCUAGUACAUCCAGAACGAUAAGGAUUUUGCAAGGUUAUACCGAGACAAUAUAGUGUAGGUGCCUCCAUUCGUGUAUGGCCAUGAUGCGAAAUCUCAGCACCCUUAUGAACUUAGAGGGAUCUUUAGGAUCUUUACAACCAGGUUUUUUGGAAACAUUUCACUAACAACCACACUGUUUCAUGAUUUACCAUCAGUUAAAAACAAAUGGUUCGCAGUCUUAUCCUCCUCCACCGGGAAAUUUGUACAAAGUAUGCCACGAAAUGAGUGUGGGAUCCAAUUAUCUUAAAUCAAAGAUAUUUGCUUUCCGUCUCCUAAUUGCAAGAAUAAGCCGUUUUGAAGGAGUUUCUUACCAAAUAAUAUGCUGCGCCAUGUGUGGGAAGCUGAUCUUGGGCAUCCUGAUCUCCAAAAAUCUCCAUGCGGGAAAUACCUUCCUUCUAAUACCUUGAAGCAUAAUGAAUUGGGGUUCACUAAGAGCCUACAGCACUGCUUUGCAAGCAUGGCUUGAUUAAAAAUCACCAAGUCCCUGAAUCCCAUUCCUCCAAGAUACUUGGGCGAGGAUAGCCAAUUAGAGGACCUCCAAUGAAUUUUUUCCUCCCAUCUUCCAUUCCCCACCAUACUGGAGAUAGGUCUAUUCAUGUUCUCACAUAUUGAUAUUGGAAUUUGGAAGCAGCACAUUACAUAUGUCCGGAUGGCUUGAGCCACCGACUUUAGAAGUACUUCUCUACCUUCUCUGGAUAACAGUCUUAUCAUUCCACCCAUUUAAUAUCCUCCAUAGCCUCCGAGUGAGGAAAUUAAAAUUGCUUGUUGUAGAGCAUCCCACCCAAGAAGGCAUGCCAAGGUAAGUGGCUUGUAGAGACUCAUCUCGGACUCCUACCAUGUUCUUUACUCGUUCCUUCACCCGAUUGUCACAAUGAUGUCCAAAGAAGAUAUAUGACUUGUGCAAGUUGAUUUUCUGACUAGAGCCUUUGUAGUACGUCUCAAGAGCGAUUUUAAGUAUGUUUGUGCUUCUAUUGUCGCCCUUCACAAAAAAUAUGCUAUCAUCAUCAAAUAAGAGGUGGUAAAUAGGAUNNNNNNNNNNUUGAUGUCCAAAGAAGAUAUAUGACUUGUGCAAGUUGAUUUUCUGACCAGAGCCUUUGUAGUAGGUCUCAAGAGCAAUUUUAAGUAUGUUUGUGCUUCUAUUGUCUCCCGUCACAAAAAAUAUGCUAUCAUCAUCAAAUAAGAGGUGGUAAAUAGGAUGGCCUGCUUUUCUGUUCUUGAUUUCUCUAAUGUCCCUUAUUGCUUCUUUUAACUGUAGAAGACAAGAUAAACCUUCAGGACAUAAUAAAAAUAAGUAUGGGCUGAUGGGAUCACCCUGACAUAUGCCUCUAGUAGGUAUGAAAGGGCCAGUUAAGUUCCCAUUUACUUUGACUGCAUAUUGUAUAGAGGUCACACACCUCAUCACCGAUUCUAACUAGUUUCAAAUAAAGCCAAAUUUAACAAGAACCCCUUUCAAAUAAGGCCAUUCAACUCUAUCAUACACUAGUAGAAAAGAGGGCUUUGGUCCACUUGAUAAAAUCCCAUUAGUCUUGGGCCGACCCAUGUGGGAGGCGGGACACCAAUGUUUUUUUUUUAUAUAUUUCCUUUUUUCUUUUCUGUAUUUGUAUUUUCUAUUUUAAAAUAAUUCAGGAUUACAAAAUGUUUCCAUUUUCAGGAAAUAGAGAAAUAAAAAUAUUUUGAGAAAUCAUAAAUAUUCGUGAAUUCGUGAAAUGUGCAUGUUUUUGAAAAACAUUUGGGAAGUCAUAAAAUUUUCAAAUUUAAAAGAAUUCAUGAUUUUCAAACAAAUCUUUGCAUAUUCAAAGAUCUUUCAUGNNNNNNNNNNGAAAUCCCAUUAGUCUUGGGCCGACCCAUGUGGGAGGCGGGACACCACUGUUUUUUUUAUAUAUUUUUCCUUUUUUUCUUUUCUGUAUUUGUAUUUUCUAUUUUAAAAUAAUUCAAGAUUAUAAAUUUUUUCCAUUUUCAGGAAAUAGAGAAAUAAAAAUAUAUUUGAGAAAUCAUAAAUAUUCGUGAAUUCAUGAAAUGUGCAUGUUUUUUAAAAACAUUUGGGAAGUCAUAAAAUUUUCAAAUUUAAAAUAAUUCAUGAUUUUCAAACAAAUCUUUGCAUAUUCAAAGAUCUUUCAUGAUUUUGAAAAAAAGUCCGGGAAAGAAAUAAAGUGUGUGGGUUCAAAAACAAUUAUUAAAGAUGGAAGAAGUUCAUGAAUUAAAACAAUAUUCACGAUUCUGUAAAAAAUGUCCAUAAAAAAUGUAUUUCAGUUUAAAUUGUCCCUGAAUUUCGAAGUUCAUCNNNNNNNNNNAAAAAGUGUGUGGGUUCAAAAACAAUUCUUAAAGAUGGAAGAAGUUCAUGAAUUAAAACAAUAUUCAUGAUUCUGUAAAAAAUGUCCGUAAAAAAUGUAUUUCAGUUUAAAUUGUCCCUGAAUUUCGAAGUUCAUCAAUUGAAAAGAGGUUUGCUGAAUGAAAGUAUGUUCAUGGUUUUCAAAAACAAAUUUAUUAAAAAAAUUGUGAUCUUCAAAAAGUUUUUCCAAAAUAUAAAAAUAUUUAUCAAUUCAAAACAAUUGGUUUAACUUUAAAAAAAUGUUCAUGAUUUCAAAUAAUGUCCGAGAAUAUGCAAAAAAUACGAAUAUAAAAAAUGUACACGUUUCAAAACAUGUCCAUAAAUUGAAAAAAUGUUUAUGAUUUCCAAAUGUGUUCACAAUUUUGAUAUUUUUUCAAUAUUUGUUUUUUUUGAAAAAGACAGGAAAAUUGAAAUUGGAAAUAAUGAAAAAUAUAAUAAAANNNNNNNNNNUCACGUUUCAAAACAUGUCCAUAAAUUGAAAAAAUAUUCAUGAUUUCGAAAUGUGUUCACAAUUUUGAUUUUUUUUUCAAUAUUUGUUUUUUUAAAAAGACAGGAAAAUUGAAAUUGGAAAUAAUGAAAAAUAUAAUAAAAGGCAAACAAGAAAAAAAAUGAGAAAUGAAAAAUUAAAAUGAAAAUGACAUAAUAAAAGAAAAUCAAAAAUAGAAAAGAAAGUGGAAAAGGAGAAAUACGAAAAUGAGAAAGAUAUAGAAAAAUAAAAAGAAGCAACAAAGAAGAAGAAAAUAAAAACUGACUCAACGAAGGUUCUAGAACUUCCGCCAACUGAAAAGAAAAAAAACUAGACUAGGAUGGUCCAAACGCGGGACAAUCUCGGGAGGGGGCUAUGCACCAGCUUGCUAUAGAGCGACCUACAUGCCAAAUNNNNNNNNNNUACUUCCGCCAACUGAAAGGAAAAAAAAUAGACUAGGAUGGUCCAAACGCGGGACAAUCUCAGGAGGGGGCUAUGCACCAGCUUGCUAUAGAGCGACCUACAUGCCAAAUUGGAACAAGAAAGCAAGACAUAGUCAUGCCACAUACGCUUGGUUGUCUCAUGGCAAUCGACAGGUAGCCCCUUGACUAUGUGCCAAGCCACACAUGUAGGUUGUAUCACUAAAGGCUUAAUUAUUCAGCCCGGCGUCAUCGCGCACUUGAGUAUUUCUUUCCUGUGUGGUCUAGAUGGGCUUGAUUUGUGGUCGUGGAUGACACCGUGAAGACCUCUUAUGGCAAGGCCAAGUGCACCGUACUCAUCCAGGCCUCGUAUGAAUAACCUCUUUUUCCUCUUAAUUCUCUUGUUUUAAUACUUCUCCUAGUUUCUAAUUUCUUCUUGUUUCGAAAUUUCAGACAAGCAUGGCAGGUUUGGGCUUGAUCUGAAGAUUUUCUUCCUCGGACCGUAACAGAAUUUGGUUUGUUCAAGAAGCUCAAGUAAGUCUUCUUUUUACCAGCAAAAGAAAGAAGCUCAUGUAAGUAUUUUUCUUAAGAUCUUUUAACCCAAGAAAGGAUAUGUGUCCUUGUUGCUCAAUCGUUUUUCCGAUCUCCGACUAAGACAUCCUGAUAAGAACGGCGCCCAAAUAUUUCACAUGAACAUGGUUCCUAUAUACAAGCUAUACAUUAUGUUUCAAAAGUAUGACAUAUAUAAAUAUGCCAAGUUCUGUUGCUUUCAUGCUUAGCACNNNNNNNNNNGAUCCUGACAAGAACGGGGCCCAAAUGUUUCACAUGACCAUGGUUCCUAUAUACAAGCUAUACAUUAUGUUUCAAAAAUAUGACAUAUAUAAAUAUGCCAAGUUCUGUUGCUUUCAUGCUUAGCACCUUUGGUUAACACCCCCAGGAUAGCAGGUAUACAUUUUUAACCAGGGUAGUUAUAAUUAAUCUUUUUUGCUUCCGAGCACCCAUUGUAUAUAGAGAGAUUUACACUAGGAUGUCAAUACCAUCUGUAUAUUUUGUUGUUGUUGACACUGCCUUAUCAAACUAAAUAAACAAAAANNNNNNNNNNNNNNNNNNNNNNNNNNNNNNNNNNNNNNNNNNNNNNNNNNNNNNNNNNNNNNNNNNNNNNNNNNNNNNNNNNNNNNNNNNNNNNNNNNNNUCCGACGGCCACCUUCAUGGAUAUGUUCUUGAAUUUCUGAUGAAGUUCACAUGAUGUUGAAUCCUUGAUUCCAUCCACGGGGUAGCCGGGACCGCCCUCUAUCAUUCUUCGUUCAUCGGCGGGCGGGGCCUCAGAUUCAGCCACGCUGCUUUUCCGCUUAGAUGGGGCACCGGUAAUAUCAAGUGCAGGAUCUUCCUGGCGCGGUACUCCUCUAAGCUCAUCAAUCUUCUUCUGUUGCUCGUUAAUCCUGGCAAGCAACUGGUUGAACUUGUCAUUCUCCUCAUCCUGCUUCCGCUUCUGUGCUCUCUCUCGGCUUCUGUAAGUGUCUUGGUCUCUGGCAAACCCAAGCCACCACGGGUAAGAUGGACCGAAGCCUCGCAUUCGUCCUCCAUGUUCGUCAUUGCCGAGGACCAGUGUGAGCAAAUCUUUAUCUCUAUCUGCAGUGAACUUUCUUUGUCCCUCCUUAAUUUCUUUCACUAUCCUUUUCCAAUUCUCCCUGGGUAUCCUAAGAUUGUCAUUGCAGAUGAGGUCCCCUGUUUUUUCGUCGCACGACCCACCAUGCGCAAGGAACCAAUUUCUUGCUCUCCAUUCCCACUCAUCACGGAGUGGUUCAGGUACGAUGCCUUUAUCUAUCAGAUCUUGCUCUUUCUUUUCCCACUUUGGGAUCGCAGUCUCAUAGCCCCCUGGCCCCAGCUUGUGGUUAUAUAUCUUCUUGUCGGCAUUUAUCUUGUUCUUUUCUGAUAAUGCCUGGGCAUNNNNNNNNNNCCCUGGCCCCAGCUUGUGGUGAUAUUUCUUCUUGUCGGCAUUUAUCUUGUUCUUUUCUGAUAAUGCCUGGGCAUCUUCUCACUCCUUGUACUCUUGAAAUUCCUUCCAGUGAUUCGCAUGCUUGGCUAGAUACCCCUCGAAUACUGGCACUUUCUUUGUCGUCAGAUAGUUUUUCCAUAGCUUCUUCUUCCAGCUACGGAAUAGUUCGGCCAUCUUCUUUAGAGUCGACUGCUUGACUUUGGCCCUCAGUUUGUCUGCGGCGUCUUCAUUCUCACAUUCUGGCAGGUUGAAAUGUGACAUGAUAUCAUUCCAAAGACUAUCUUUGUACCUUUCGACGACAUAGUCACUAUCGGCUGCCCCUUUGCGCUUGUUCCACUCCCGAACGCUGAUCGGGACGUGAUACCUAACGAGAACUCCGCAUUGCUUCUUGAAUGUGUCAGCAUCAUUCUUAGGAAGCUUGGGUUCACCCGUAGGCAUUAUCAGCUCAAAGGUGUAAUGCGUCNNNNNNNNNNNNNNNNNNNNNNNNNNNNNNNNNNNNNNNNNNNNNNNNNNNNNNNNNNNNNNNNNNNNNNNNNNNNNNNNNNNNNNNNNNNNNNNNNNNNNNNNNNNNNNNNNNNNNNNNNNNNNNNNNNNNNNNNNNNNNNNNUGGAGGCCUAAGAGGGAGAAACAUUCGUCAAAUGAAUGUAUAUGUAUAGAAUAUAGAGCUAUCUCCAAUAUUUUUCACAUAUUACAAGUGAUUGUCGAACUUCAUAUGUAUACCUCGCCGGACUUUAUUAUUUCUUCACCGGCUUAUCCACCGGCUUCUUCAUCAGUGGAGCUAUCACCUUCUCCAUCAUUGGACCUAUCUCCUUUUUCUUCUUUUCUUCUCCUUUUUCUUCUUUUCUUCUCCUUUUUCUUCUUUUCUUCUCUUUUUCCUUCCUUUCUUCUCCUUUUUCUUCUUUUCUUCUCUUUUUCCUUCCUUUCUUCUCCUUUUUCUUCUUUUCUUCUCUUUUUUCUUCUUUGCUUGUGCUGGCCGGAGUGUUGGGGAGGAGGGGGCAUGGGGCUUACCGGCCGGAGGUGUCGACGGCGCGCGGCGAGGAGGACGGCGGCGCGCGGCGAGGAGGACGGGGCGACUCGCGGCGAGCAGGACGGCGGCGGCGAGUANNNNNNNNNNGCCCCAUCGGCUUCAUCUUCGUGUCGCUCGACCUCCAUUCCAUAUCCAUAGUCGUUUAGAUAUGACGUCGGAGAUUCAGCUGGUUCAACGUCGGGGCCGUCUUUGAUUAUAUCUUCGAGAAGUUCUUCCUCUUCGAGGUUCCUGAUAUGUGGAUCCAUAGUUCUGCAAAAAACGGACAUUUGAUUAACUAAUAAACUAACAAACUAUAUAAGAGGGGUUGGAAACUUCGAAGGCUCGUUUUAUAUAGGAGGACCUUUAGUCCCGGGUCUUGGCUAGAACCUAAACUCUAAAAUACCAGCCGGGCGGAGCCCAGUCCCGGACACUUAAGCAUAUACAAUAGCAAAAUUAAACUAGUUCUAUUAAUUUUCUUGCUAAAAAUAAACUAUUAACACUUAAGCAUAUACAAUAGAAAAAUUAAACUAUUAACAAUUAAGCAUAUACAAUAGCAAAAUUAAGCAAUAAUCUAAGAAACACUAUUAACACUUAAGCAUAUACACUAUACAAUAGCAAAAUUAAAUGACAAAAAAAAUAGUUCUUCUUCUUGUAACCCUAAACUAAUUUUUCCUCUUCUUCUAUUUGUCCUCUUCUUCUACUUCUUCUUCUACUUCUACUUCUCCUCUUCUUCUACUACUUCUCCUCUCCUCUUCUUCUAUUUUUCCUCUUCUUCUCCUCUCCUCCUCUUCUUAUUCUCCUUUUUCUUCUUUUCUUCUCCUCCUCUUCUUAUUCUCCUUUUUCUUCCUUUCUUCUCCUUUUUCUUCCUUUCUUCUAUUUUUCUUCCUUUCUUCUCCUUUUUCUUCCUUUCUUCUCCUUUUUCUUCUUUUCUUCUCCUUUUCCUUCCUUUCUUCUCCUUUUUCUUCUUUUCUUCUCUUUUUUAUUCCUUUCUUCUCCUUUUUCUUCCUUUCUUCUCCUUUUUCUUCUUUGCUUGUGCUGGCCGGAGUGUUGGGGAGGAGGGGGUGUGGGGCUUACCGGCCGGAGGUGUCGACGGCGUGCGGCGAGGAGGACGGCGGCGAGCGGCGAGGAGGACGGCGGCGCGCGGCGAGGAGGGCGGCGCGCGGCGAGCAGGACGANNNNNNNNNNNNNNNNNNNNNNNNNNNNNNNNNNNNNNNNNNNNNNNNNNNNNNNNNNNNNNNNNNNNNNNNNNNNNNNNNNNNNNNNNNNNNNNNNNNNCCCGAGUGCGACUUUUAGUGCACACUCGGAGAAAGUUAAUACUUAGGCGAUUCUNNNNNNNNNNGAGUGUAUCUGUAGGAUACACUCGAAGGCAAUUGAGUACUUAGGCGAUUCGUGAUCGCGGCUAAGUCUUCGAGUGCGACUGUAAGGUCGUGCUCAGAGCGAGUUUUUACUCAUGUAAUUGUUAGUGGUGUUGACAUCUACAUGAGCCUCAAUGAGGUUCUGCUACUCAUGUAAUUGUCAGUUGUCUUGACAUCUACAUGAGCCUCACUGAGGGUCUGUUGAGUCCCCAAGUUUAUCUGUAGGAUACACUCAAAGGCAAUUGAGUACUUAGGCGAUUCUGAUCGCGGCUAAGUCUUUGACUGCGACUGUAAGGUCGUGCUCGGAGCGAGUUGUUACUCAUGUAAUUGUCAGUGGUCUUGACAUCUACAUGAGCCUCAAUGAGGUUCUGCUACUCAUGGAAUUGUCAGUUGUCUUGACAUCUACAUGAGCCUCACUGAGGGUCUGUUGAGUCCCCNNNNNNNNNNNNNNNNNNNNNNNNNNNNNNNNNNNNNNNNNNNNNNNNNNNNNNNNNNNNNNNNNNNNNNNNNNNNNNNNNNNNNNNNNNNNNNNNNNNNAGUCUACACUUCUUAAUAUGUCCGAUAGAAAUAUUAAGAUUGAGGCUGAGAAGAAGGUGCAAACUCUUCUCACAGAGAGGAGAUGAAAUGGGCCCUUUGAGCAAAGGUGGCGAAGGUGGACCAUGGAGAUGAUAAAACACAAUUCUUUCACAUGAUUGGGAAUGGCAAACAUAGGAAGAAGAAAAUAAUUCUACUUGAACACGAUGAUGAUACAAUUGUAGGAAAUGAGAACCUAAAAUUGUACAUCUUCGAGUAUUAUAAGAAACUUUUUGGUGCACCCGAAGAGAAUUUUGUUUUUCUGGAUUAGAGCACAACAAGUGACAUUCCUCAACCCAGUUCAGAUGAGAACGAGAUUUUGUCAGCCCCAUUUACGGAUGAAGAGAUGUUUGACGCAAUAUCACAAAUGAAGCAAAAUAAGGCACCGGGACCAGAUGGGUUUCUGAUGGAAUUUUAUAAAAAGUGUUGGCAUAUUAUUAAAGAUGAUAUUUGCAUAUGUUCCAUGAUUUGUUUAAUGGGUAUUUACAUCUAUUCCACCUUAACUUUGGAAUAAUAAUGGUGUUUCUAAAGAAGGUGGAGGCUAUUCGCAUUGAGAAGAUCAGGCUGACUGCUCAAUGCCAGCUUCAAAAAAUUUACAAAGGUUGGCACGAAUAGGUUGACAAAGAUAGCCCAUUCCGUAGUCCAAUCGACCGAGACAACUUUCAUGCAUGGAAGACAUAUCCUAGAAGGGUUCAUUGUUUUGCAUGAAAAGUUGCAUGAAAUACAUAAAAAGAAACUUGAUGGGCUUAUCUUUAAAGUGGAUCUCAAGAAGGCGUACGAUAAGGUCAAAUGGCCAUUUCUUCAACAAGCCUUGUGUAUGAAGGGAUUCAACGAAUCCUAGAGGGAUCAUGUGGGUGCUUUCAUUUAGAAAGGUAGAGUUGGGAUUAAAAUUAAUGAUGACAUAGCUCAUUAUUUUUAGACUCAUAAGGGAUUGAGGCACGGAGAUUUCAUGUCUCCCUUGUUGUUCAACAUAGUAGCAGAUAUGUUGGCACUCCUUAUUGAUCGGGCUAAAGAGAAUGGCCAAGUAGGAGGACUUCCUUGGGGAACGUCGCAUGGGAAACAAAAAAUUUCCUACGCGCACUAAUACGUCCAUUUUGCAUCAUUCUUUCAUGUUGAUAUUUAUUGUUUUUUCGGAUUUUAUAUUACUUCUGGUAGCAUAUUUAUGCCUCUUCUCUCUUAUUUUGCAAGGCUUAUUUGAAGAGGGAGAAUUCAGGCAGCUGGAAUUCAGGACUGGAAAAGGAGCAAAUCCUAGUCCACUAUUCUGCACAUCUCCAAAUACCCUGAAAAUUUACGUGGAUUUUUUCUGGAAUAUAUUAAAAAUACUGGGCGAAAGAACUACCGGAGGGGUCCACCAGGGCCCCACAAGCCCCCACUCCGCCACCAACCCCCCUGGUGGCGGUGGGCAAGCUUGUGUGCUGCCUGAAGGCCCACUAGCCCCCCUCUUUUGCUAUGUGAAGCGUCCUGACCUGGGAAAAAUCAUACGGGAGCUUUUUCGUGGUUUCGCCGUCGCCACGAGGCGGAACUUGAGCACAUCCAAUCUAGAGCUCCGGUAGGACGAUCCCGCCAGGGAAAUUUCCCUCCCGGAGGGGGGGAAUCGUCGCCAUCGUCAUCACCAACACUCCUCUCGUCGGAGGGGAGUCAUCUUCAUCAACAUGUUCAUCAGCACCAUCUCCUCUCCAAUCCCUAGUUCAUCUCUUGUAAUCAAUCUUCGUCUCGCGACUCCGAUUGGUACUUUUAAGGUUGCUAGUAGUGUUGAUUACUCUUUGUAGUUGAUGCUUGUUGGAUUACUUGGUGGAAGAGUUGAUGUUCAUAUCCUUGAUGCUAUUCAUUACACCUCUGGUCAUGAUUAUGAUUAUGUCUUGUGAGUAGAUACUUUUGUUCGUGAGGACAUGGGAUAAGUCAUGCUGAUAAUAGUCAUGUGAAUUUGAUAUUCGUUCGGUAUUAUGAUAUGAUGUAUGUUGUUUUCCCUCUAGUGGUGUUAUGUGAACGUCGACUACAUAACACUUCACCAUGUUUGGGCCUAGAGGAAGGCAUUGGGAAGUAGUAAGUAGAUGAUGGGUUGCUGGAGUGACACAAGCUUAAACCCCAGUUUAUGCGUUGCUUCGUGAGGGGCUGAUUUGGAUCCACUAGUUUAAUGCUAUGGUUAGACUUUGUCUUAAUUCUUCUUUUGUAGUUGCGGAUGCUUGCGAGAGAGGUUAAUCAUAAGUGGAUGCUUUUCCAAGUAAGGGCAGUACCCAAGCGCCGGUCCACCCACAUAUCAAACUAUCAAAGUAACGAACGUGAAUCAUAUGAACAUGAUGAAACUAGCAUGACAGAAAUUCCCGUGUGUCCUCGGGAGCGUUUUUCCUCCUAUAAGACUUUGUUCAGGCUUGUCCCUUGCUACAAAAGGGAUUGGGACACUUGCUGCACUGUUUCUACUACUUGUUACUUGUUACUCUUUGCUUGCUACGUUUCACCUCGCUACACAAUCACCUAUUACCGCUACUUUCAGUGCUUGCAGUUAUUACCUUGCUGAAAUCCGUUUAUCACAGCCUUCUGCUCCUCGUUGGGUUCGACACUCAUACUUAUCGAAAGGACUAUGAUUGAUCCCCUAUACUUGUGGGUCAUCAAGACUCUUUUCUGGCGCCGUUGCCGGGGAGUGAAGCGCCUUUGGUAACUGGAAAUUGGUAAGGAAACAUUUAUAUACUAUGCUGAAAUUUAUUGUCACUUGUCACUAUGGAAACUCUUCCUUUGAGGAGUUUGUUCGGGGUAUAUUCACCACGAACGGAAGCACGAGGAGUUGCUCCUCAACCUGAGGUACCUACUGAAAAUAUCUUUUAUGAAAUUGCUUUGGGUAUGCUUGAGAAACUGCUGGCUAAUCCUUUCACAGGAGAUGGAUCUUCACAUCCAGACUUUCAUCUAAUCUAUGUAGAUGAAGUUUGUGGUUUAUUUAAGCUUGCAGGUUUGCCCGAGGAUGAGGUAAAUAAGAAAGUCUUUCCUUUAUCUUUGAAGGAUAAGGAGUUGACAUGGUAUAGGCUAUGUGAUGAUGAUGGAUCAUGGGGCUACAAUCGGUUGAAAUUGGAAUUUCAUCAAAAGUUCUAUCCUAUGCAUUUAGUACAUCGUGAUCGGAACUUUAUUUAUAACUUUUGGCCUCGUGACAGGGAAAGCAUAGCUCAAGCUUGGGGAGGCUUAAAUCAAUGAUAUAUUCAUGCCCCAAUCAUGAGCUCUCGAGAGAAAUCAUCACUCAAAACUUUUAUGCUCGGCUUUCUCAUGAAGAUCGUACCAUGCUUGACACUUCUUGUGCCGAUUCUUUUAUGAAGAAGGAUAUUGAUCACAAGUGGAAUUUAUUGGAGAGAAUCAAACGCAACUCCGAAGAUUGGGAGUUGGAGGAAGGUAAGGACUCAGGUAUGAAUUUCCAGUUUGAUUGCGUUAAAUCUUUUGUUGAGACAAACACUUCUAGAGAUUUUAGCGCUAAGUAUGGACUUGACUCUGAGAUAGUAGCAUCUCUUUGUGAAUCUUUUGCUGCUCAUGUUGAACUUCCCAAAGAGAAGUGGCAUCCUCCUGUAGAAAGCAACAUAGCCUAAACCAAUCUAGUUGAGGAGAAAAUCAUAGCUUUUAGUGAUCCUGUUGUUCCUUGUGCUUACACUAAGAAACCACCAUCCCCUGCUAGAAUGAAGGAUUAUUCUAAAGCUCCAACUGUGAUAUGUAGGGGUUACAUUAGACCACUUGCACCCCCUGAGGAGAUUAGAGUUGAACCUAGUGUUGCUAUUAUCAAAGAUCUCUUAGCCGAAGACAUAGAUGGGCAUGUUAUUAAAUUCUGUGAGGACUCUGCUAGAAUUGCUAAACCUCACGCGAAAGACAAGCAUGGACCUGUAGUUGGCCUUCUCGUUGUUUCUGUUAAGAUAGGAGAUCACUGCUACCAUGGUUUAUGUGAUAUGGGAGCUAGUGUUAUUGCAAUACCCCGUUAUCUCUAUGAUGAAAUCAAAGAUGAGAUUGCACCUGCUGAGAUAGAAUCCAUUGAUGUCACUAUCACGCUAGCUAAUAGAGACACUAUCUGCCCUUUGGGAAUUGUGAGAGACGUAGAAGUCCUGUGUGGUAAGACGAAGUAUCCUACUGAUUUCCUCCUCCUCGGUACUGCACAAGAUAGCUUUUGUCCCAUCAUAUUUGGUAGACCCUUUCUCAACACUGUCAAUGCUCACAUUGAUUGCAUUAAGCAGACUGUCACAGUAAGUUUUGAGGGUGUGUCUCAUGAAUUUAACUUCUCCAAGUUUGGAAGACAACCCCAUGAAAGAGAGUCGUCUGGUAGAGAUGAAAUCAUUUCUCUUGCCUCUAUUGCCGUACCUCCUACGGAUCCUUUAGAGCAAUAUCUUGAGCAUGAAAAUGAUAUGCAUAUGGAGGAGAGAGAUGAGAUAGAUAGAAUUGUCUUAGAACAACAUCCUAUUCUCAAGAAUAAUCUGCCUGUUGAACUGCUUGGGGAUCCUCCCCCACCUAAGGGUGAUCCUGUGUUCGAGCUUAAAUAGUUGCCUGAUACUCUUAAGUAUGCCUAUCUUGAUGAGAAGGAUAUAUAUCCUGUCAUUAUCAGUGCCCUCCUCUCAGAGCUCGAAGAGAAGAAGUUACUAAAAACUCUGAGGAAGCACCGCGCUGCUAUUGGAUAUACUCUUGAUGAUCUUAAUUAAGGGUAUUAGUCCUACUCUAUGUCAGCACAAGAUUAAAACCGAUCCUGACUUUAAACCAGUUGCUGAUCAUCAAAGGAGAUUGAAUCCUAAGAUGAAAGAGGUCGUUAGAAAAGAAAUAUUAAAGCUUCUGGAAGCAGGAAUCAUUUAUCCUGUUGCUCAUAGUGAUUGGUAAGUCCAGUACAUUGCGUACCUAAGAAGGGAGGUAUCACCGUCGUUCCUAAUGAUAAGGAUGAACUAAUCCCACAAAGGAUUAUUACCGGCUAUAGAAUGGUGAUAGACUUCCGGAAACUGAACAAGGCAACCAGGAAAGAUCAUUAUCCUUUGUCGUUCAUCGACCAAAUGCUAGAAAGGCUAUCAAAACACACACACUUCUGCUUUCUAGACGGUUAUUCAGGUUUCUCGUAGAUACUUGUUGCACAAUCUGAUCAAGAGUAAACCACUUUCACCUGCCCUUUCGGUACCUUUGCCUAUAGACGUAUGCCUUUUGGCUUAUGCAAUGCACCCGCCACCUUCCAAAGAUGUAUGAUGGCUAUAUUCUCUGACUUCUGUGAAAAGAUUGUCGAGGUUUUCAUGGAUUACUUCUCCGUUUAUGGGUCUUCCUUUGAUGAUUGCCUCAGCAACCUUGAUGGAGUCUUACAGAGAUGCGAAGAAACCAACCUCGUCUUGAAUUGGGAGAAGUGCCACUUUAUGGUUAAUGAAGGUAUCGUCUUAGGACACAAAAUCUCUGAAAGAGGCAUUGAAGUUGAUAAGGCUAAGGUUGAUGCAAUUGAUAAAAUGCCUUGCCCCACAGAUAUCAGAGGUAUACGAAGUUUCCUAGGUCAUGCUGGUUUGUAUAGAAGGUUCAUUAAAGACUUAUCUAAGAUUUCUAGGCCUCUUACCAACCUCUUGCAGAAGGAUGUUCCUUUUGUUUUUGAUGAGGAUUGUGAGGAAGCCUUCGAAAUACUUAAGAAGGCUUUGAUAACCGCACCUAUUGUUCAACCACCUGACUGGAACUUGCCCUUUGAAAUCAUGUGUGUCGCUAGUGAUUACGCUGUUGGUGCUGUUCUAGGACAAAGAGUUGACAAGAAGUUGAAUGUCAUUCACUACGCUAGUAAAACUCUAGACAGUGCCCAAAGAAACUAUGUCACUAUGGAGAAGAAAUUUUUAGUAGUCGUGUUUGCAUGUGAAAAAACAGAUCUUACAUAGUUGACUCCAAAGUCACUAUUCACUCUGAUCAGUCUGCUAUUAAGUACCUUAUGCAGAAGAAGGAUGCUAAGCCUAGGCUGAUCAGAUGGGUUCUCCUGCUACAGGAAUUUGAUUUGCACGUCGUUGACCGAAAAGGUGCUGACAAUCCUAUAGCAGAUAACUUGUCUAGACUAGAGAAUGUCCGUGAUGACCCACUACCAAUUGAUGACAGCUUUCCUGAUGAGCAAUUAAAUGUCAUCCGCACUUCACUUAGUGCACCGUGGUAUGCCGAUUAUGCAAACUAUAUCGUAGCCAAAUACAUACCACCCAGUUUCACCUAUGAACAAAAGAGGAAAUUCUUCGUUGAUUUGAGACACUACUUCUGGGAUGAUCCUCACCUUUAUAAGGAAGGAGUAGAUGGUGUUAUUAGACGUUGUGUGCCUGAACAUGAACAGGGACAGAUCCUGCAGAAGUGUCAUUCCGAAGCCUACGGAGGACACCAUGCUGGAGAUAGAAUUGCCCAUAAGGUAUUGCAAUCAGGUUUCUAUUGGCCCACUCUCUUCAAGGAUGCCCGUAAGUUUGUCUUUUCUUGUGACGAAUGCCUAAGGAUAGGGAACAUCAGUAAGCGUCAAGAGAUGCCUAUGAACUAUUCACUUGUCAUUGAACCAUUUGAUGUCUGGGGCUUUGAUUAUAUGGGACCCUUCCCGAGUUCCGAUGGGUACACUCACAUCUUAGUUGCUGUGGAUUACGUUACUAAGUGGGUAGAAGCUAUCCCCACUAAAAAUGCUGAUCACCACACCUCUAUUAAGAUGCUUAAAGAAGUCAUAUUCCCAAGAUUUGGAGUCCCUAGAUACUUGAUGACUGAUUGCGAUUCACACUUCAUUCAUGGUGUUUUCCGCAAGAUGCUAGCUAAGUAUGAUGUCAACCAUAGAGUUGCAUCUCCUUAUCAUCCUCAGUCUAGUGGUCAAGUGGAGUUGAGUAAUAGGGAGAUCAAAUUGAUCCUACAAAAGACCGUCAAUAGAUCUCGAAAGAACUGGUCAAGCAAACUUGACGAUGCACUAUGGGCUUAUAGGACUGCUUAUAAGAAUUCCAUGGGCAUGUCACCGUAUAAAAUGGUUUACGGUAAAGUCUAUCAUUUACCUCUUGAGCUGGAACACAAAGCUUAUUGGGCAAUCAAAGAGCUCAACUUUGAUUUCAAACUUGCUGGUGAGAAGCGGUUGUUUGAUAUCAGCUCGUUGGAUGAAUGGAGAGCCCAGGCAUAUGAGAAUGCCAGGUUGUUCAAGGAAAAGGUUAAGAGAUGGCACGACAAACGAAUACAGAAACGAGAGUUCAAUGUAGGUGAUUAUGUCUUGCUAUACAAUUCUCGUUUGAGAUUCUUUGCACGCUAGCUUCUCUCUAAAUGGGAAGGUUCCUAUGUUGUCGAGGAAGUAUAUCGUUCCGGUGCCAUCAAAAUCAAUAACACGGAAGGAAAUUUUCCUAGAGUGGUAAAUGGGCAAAGAAUCAAGCAUUACAUCUCUGGUACUCCCAUAAAUGUUGAGACCAAUAUCAUCAAUGUCAUAACUCCAGAGGAGUACAUAAGGGAUGUUUAUCAGCCUGUUUCAGACCUUGAAAACGAAGAUGUAUCUGUUUCGGCAAGAAAUUGGACUCCGAUAUUUUGUACGCAAGUAUGCAUGAUUGAAUGAAUCAUGAUACGAUCAACGUAUUUUGGCAUUCACUUUCUACAUCUUGUUUUUGUUCUUUUUUUCUUGUUUCUAUCAUUGUGGCACUCGGAUGGAUGGCGACGCUUCUUUUUUGAGUUCAUCUUCCAGGCUUCGAUUCUCAUUAAGUCUGUCCGUCUGGACAUAGUCGACGGAGCUACUGCGUAGAAUCAUGUUGUCUUCUUCUCGUGACGAGGUUAUGGUUUCUCGUCAUAUGACGAGAUUUGGUGUCAUUGCUUCAGAUCAAUGAAAUGGUUCUAUAGCGACGACUACGGUCCCAGGGUUUGGUCCUUACGUGCAUCUGGAGGAAGAUAUCUCGGAUGUCAUCGUCAGUGUCAAGUUGGCUCCGGUAGGGGAGCGGUGACAGCGAUGCAUCGUCGACACGUUCUAUCAGUUAAGUGGUUAUUCGGUGGUUUCGGAAUCUCAUUCUAAUUUUUAUUAUGUUUGAGAUGCUUUGUAUUUUCGAUGAACGUUUAUAAAAGAUCUGAUACUUUGCUUAAAAAUGAAUGAAAAAUGAUCCUUCCCCAUCGACUCUACUUCCGCUGCGCUACGAGUCGGUAAUGAUCAGAUAAAACCCUGUAUGCAUCUCCUUAGUGGUCCUGGGCGUGCUCGUAGUACCGAAAUUUUUUGUUUUCUAUCGCGUUCCUCUACAGUGGAAUCAUGAGCUAAGCUAUGGGUAGAUGGAGGUUAUGAUCUAGAAUACAUGAGAUGUAUGGGUAUAGCAUAGUAUAAUUUUGUAGUAGAUGAGAUCUAUUGCUGAAAAUUAUAUGUGCGGGUAGUAGAUGAAAUCUAUUACCCAAUAUUCUUGUUGCUUCGCGUGAAUUUGUGUGGUCCUGAUCCUGACGGCAUGGUGGAAUCUUACAAAGUUUUGGCAAUCCGCGAUCCUUUCAUGCUGCUCUUGAGUAUGUUGAUUGAUAGAUCACCGAAGUGCUUCAGUGCUUUUGGGUUCCACCAUAGUUGAGAAAGAUGGAUGUUUCGCAGACGAAAGGGAAAUGCAGAUAUGAUCUGCACGGGGGUCAUGCAUAUGACGAAGUUUAGUAUGGGGCUUGAGCUUUUAUUAUCUCGUGUUUCAUACACCUUGGAAAGUUAAUCUAGCAACUUGAAUUAUUAUACCUGAUGAUGAACGUUGGUAGCUGCAGUUUAAGUCAAAAACAUAGAAGCCAUGUAAAAAUAAAAUUUUGCAUUAACCAAUUAGAGGCGUCUAACUUGAUUUUACAGAAUGUGCAUGAGAUGUGGUAUAACAAUUCUCAUAUUCAACUUGAUUACGUAUGAGAUGACUAUAUAAUGUAAAUUAACAUGACCUGUGUGUCAUGAUUCUGCAUGAUGGCUGGAGCCAUAUGAUUGUCACUUUAAUGACAUGUGUUUCGACAUUAAGUAAUGCAUUUAUUUUACCAGCUAUAGAGAUAGCAAUAUUAUUUGAUGCGUCGAAAAGGUGGUGGCAAUAUUAUCUGAUGUGUACAUAUAUUUGUGCUAACCCUUUUCAAGUAUCCACACAACAUUUUUUUAUAAAUUGUGUACUUUUUCUUGGGUUUUAACUCAUCCUAAGUUGUUGUUCCCAUGAUCUUCGUGGGAAACCGUCUACUAUGUAGCUUCUCAUCCUGAAAAAAGGACCAGUUUUUGUAAGGUUGUUGUGUUCUUGGUUCUUUCACAAAAGUAUUGACUAGAUACUCUGCCUCUUUCUCUGAUAUCGGGCUUUCAACUCUCUAGUUAGGGUCAAAGGCUUAGAAUGUUACUCAUUAUGUAAACGAAUAUAAGACAGUUUAGAUCACUAUUAGCAUCUAAAAUGUUAAUAGUGACUCCCUAUAUAAACCAACAAAAGAACCCUUACGUUCUUUAUAUCAAGAUGGCAUUAGCAAUAGAACACUUACGUUACAAUGGGGCAGAAAAAUACCGCACAUCCUUAAUCCAAUAACCAUGACUCAAGGCUGCAUUCGGUCCACGUGGAUACCGUUUGUGUUGCGGCUUAUCCUCAUUACAACCCUUGCCGACAGUGGCCUCAGUCCUCAAACAACCACAACACGUUUGAAUGUGAUCAAUCCUAACGUGUAUUGCUCUCUCUCGGCAUCAAAUGAGAAAUCUUCUUUAUUUUCCCCUUGCAAGGUUUUGUCGAGGCUUGCUUGCGAGGCUAUAGAUGAUUUGUUUUGUCUCCAAUGUGGUUUUGCUAAGGUGCGAUUUCUAUUCCGUUACUACACUGUUUUCAAAGAAAGACGAACCGUGAGCUAUUGAUUAAGAUGGCAACCUAAAUAAUAUUUUAAAAGUGUUUAACAGGUAAAACAAAAUCACAUUCAGAUUCUAUAAUUCUUCUAAUUAAUCUUCAUCUAUAACAUGUCAAAAUUGAAGUUCGGGUUUAAAAGAUAUGGAUGUUCUUAAAAGUAUUUUAAUCAGCCCAUGGAGUUUGGGUUUAUUGAACAAAAUAUCGUUCUGAAAAACAUAGAAGAUUUUCUGGAGUCACUCAAAACAGGACAGUGGGUCGUUUAACCGAAAGGUUAAGAAGUUUUCAGUUAAAAAAAUAAAUAUUUUUUAUAUUCACUUAAAACCAGGACCGUGCGUUGAUUUCAUGAAACAAUAGGGUUUUUUCUUUGCAAAAGGCGCGACGGAUGGGUAGAAACAUUUCUCCUUUUAUUAGUAGGUAAAGACUAGUGAUCAAGAAUGUAUUAUACUCCCUUCAUUUCUAAAUAUAAGUGUUUUUAGAGAUUUCACUAAAAACUAUAUACGGAUGUAUAUAGACACAAUUUAGAUUGUAGAUUCAUUCAUUUUGCUUAAUAAUGGAGGAAGUAUUAGUUUACAGAUGUAGUGUCUUUAUGUGGCUAGCGAAAUACCAACAAUAUCUACAUGAUUAAAUGGAUGUGCCUAUAUGUGCAAUUCAGAGAGCUUGAGAGAGCAAGUUUUGGAUGAAUCCACCUUACUAUAUCCUAGUACAUCCAUCACACGUACAGCUAGCUAGGGAACCCUGACGCAAUGACGUGCAUAUAUAGAUAUGAGGCAACCCUGCCGACAUGGAAAACUAUAUGUCCAUGUGAACACUUGACUGGUCAUACUACACUACAAGAAAAUAGAAUAACCACACACGCAAUGUAUAUCAGAAUACCAGCACCGCGUAGACUUCACUAAUUGCAUGACAGGUCGAUCGACUUGCAUGUCCCAUGGAAAUGACUGGCCUAGGAUCACAGCAGUGGGGUGUCAGUUCGUAAAAUUUAACUUAAGUACCAUCUUAGUUUUAACAAAUAGUCCUAAAAUGGCACAAAGUUGUCAGAGAAUUAUAGCGAAUAUAGUAUAAAGUAGUUUGCAUUUUUUAGAGGAGUGCCACAGCCAUGGCAGUAUGGCACCUCAAGAUCUGCAGCUGUUUCGUGUAUUGGAGCUAAAUAAUGAGUGCAACAUUUCGGUGUCCUCUGCAUCCGGUUAGGAAAAAAAUCAUAAAAAACUUCAAAAAAUGCCAAUAAAAUCAAAAAAAAUCUCAUGGUAGAAAAGUUUUUGCGUGAGGUCCGCUCCAAUUUUUAGAUUAUUUGAACAUCUGAUAAGCUCUCAGCAAAAAAGAUAAAUUGGAUCAGAACAGUGUAUGAACCAUAACUUUUUUAUGAACCCUGAAUUUGUCUUUUUUUCUGAGAGAUGCUGAGAUGUUUAAAUGAUUUAAAAACUGAAGGGGCCUUUACCAUCAAAUUAUCUACAACGUAAAAAAAUCUAGUAUUUGUUUUGAUUUUAUUUUCUUCGGCGCGGGGUGCAGAUGAGCCUGGGCUCGGAAGUGGAUUAUCGCUAAAUAAUAUGUUGUUUUGUCAAAAGAAAGAUAGGACCCCCAGCCUCUGCAACCUCUGCAUUAUGAUGAUGCACACAACCAUAUUUAUUAAAGUUGAUGUAAGGGGCAGAGAACAAAAUUAUCAAUAAGUGUAGUACAUAACUAUUACAAGAUGUGAAUUUAACACUUAGGACUAAAUCGACUUCUUUCGCAAGACUUCAGUAAGGAAAAGACGCCCUCACAUCAUCGUCAUCACAUUCGACCGGAGACGUCUAGGACACGAAUUUCCAUCCUAGUAGCCCAACCAAGGCCGGGCGGGUCGCUGUUGGAUAUGAAUCCUGCAACUACCCUUGUUGGGCCAGUGGCUCCAGUCGAAGGCGCGAGAUGGCACAACUGCCCCGUCUACUUUAACGGGACCAUGAAGGCGCCUCAAAGCGCCAGCAUCACUCGCCAUGAGGAGCUCUCGAAGAUGGACUUGAGAGAAGGGGAGCGCUUACACGAUUUUGCUCAAGGAGAGGGGGAGCGCUUACACGAUUUUGCUCAAGGAGAGGGUGCAUCGUAAAAUCGCACGGUCUCCUAGAUUAGGGGGUAUUAACCUGGUCGGUCCACGCUCCUCGAAUUGGGCCGAUGGGCCAUCAUCCUACUCGAGGUGGACUCCGGAAGCUGCACAUUGGGUGUUAUCAAGGUUACAUCUGCCGAAGGCUUGACAUAUACUUCAAGACUCCUCCUCCCGCCUCUAUGUUAGGAUACCGACCUUGUAGCCCUAGAUAUCCUACGUAGGGUUUUACCUUCAUCAAGAGGGCUCGAACCUGGAUAAACAUCGUCUCCCUGUUCCUGUUAUCAUUUGUCCAACAUCAACAGCUUGGGGCCUCCUACCCCGAGGUCUACCGGUUUUCACACCCACUGUGUUCUCUCAAGAAAAAAAUGCUAUAUUUUUUUAACCGGUCUAACCCCCUUUCCAUUACUUGAAUAACGAAAUACAUCAGAUCCUAGAGUUCAACAGGAGGAGGGAAAGGAGAUAGAGCGAGUUCAACCAUUGCUAGGAAACCCACUGUGACCGCUCGUCAUCGAAUCGAUCACUGCGAGACGAAAACCUAGCUACAAUAUCCUAGCGGGAGAAGUAUCAUUCCUAUUACAACCUAGGAAUAAUAGGUACAAAAGAGAUAAUAGACUAAACAGUUUUUAAGUAUGUCAGAACACCACAAAAAGACUGCCAGCAGCCACCCUUGCAAAAGUGCAUCGUCCCCAUACCUCCGCUGUUCAUCCACGGCCAGCAUUGCACAGCCUCAUCAGUGACACAGUCCCCGCCCGAACAACUUCAGUUCCGGUUCGCAUCCUCUUCAUGUCGCCUGCUGGCUGCAAACCUGCCCAAUAAAGAAGGAAAGAGCAAUCAGUAAACACAAUCUCAAAUGAAGAUUUGAUCGGUUUUUUCUCCAAGGUAGGUGGAUUCCGAGCUAACCAAAUAGCCCAGGUAAUUGCAGCCAAGCCCACCGUAUAGAAUUUAUCAUCUCCAGGCAUGAAACAAUGGGACCAGGCAAAGUAUUGUCAGUGGUUGUUGGGUCCAAAAUAUGUCCCCAAACAAACCCCAGCCGAACGCCAUAACGCCAUAACUCUACAAAAAAGUGAUAUAAUGUGUAACUAUUUUGUUCAAGUCGAGCAGAUGGACUCUAUCUUGCACCAUAGCGUUUAAGCAGUAUUGAAAUUAGGUCCGCCUAUACAUCAAGUAUCUUGGGAAAAAAAACUGCAUCGAUCAAUUUUCCCAGCAGUUGGAUGGCACGAUCGUGGCACCACCUAUUAUCGUUUUCGCCCCUCACAUCGUACCUCCGUUCGGCCUCGCACAAAACAAAUUGUGUCUGACGCAAAGAAAAAAUGUAGGUACCUGAUGUUUAUCUAAACAAAUUGUGUGUUGGAUUAACUACUUAUUAUACAACAAGCUGAAGGUAUGUGUCCAGCCGUGCCAACGAGCCCGUACGGAAGAUAUAAUAGACACAUGAAAUCAAAGACAUACAGCUCGGAUAUGCGUCUCCCGUGAACGUGAUGAUCAGGGUAAGCCAGCUCCUAGAGCUGCCNNNNNNNNNNACAGAUGGACUCUAUCUUGCACCACAGCGUUUAAGCAGUAUUGAAAUUAGGUCGAGCAUAUGGUUUUCGCCCCUCACAUCGUACCUUCGUUCGGCCUCGCACAAAACAAAUUGUGACUGACGCAAAAAAAAAAUUCAGGUACCUGAUGUUUAUCAAAUGUGUGGAAUUCUUCGUCGGCACAACCAAUGGCGUCCUGGAUUAACUAAUUAUUAUACAACAAGCUGAAGGUAUGUGUCCAGCCGUGCCAACGAGCCCGUACGGAAGAUAUAAUGGACACAUGAAAUCAAAAAACCAUACAGCUCGUAUAUGUGUCUCCCGUGAACGUGAUGAUCAGGGUAAGCCAGCUCCGAGAGCUGCCAUGCCAGAUAUAUAUAUUCCUUUGUCCGAUGCGAUGCUCUAGAUUAUUUUGGCUCCACACUCGUAAAUCCAUCAAAUAUUUAUGUGCACUCUGCAGCAGACAACAUGCACAUAGGAGUACUCUUCUUGAAAANNNNNNNNNNUUUGAGAGCUCCCGUGAACCUUUGUCCGAUGUGAUGCUCUAAAUUAUUUUGGCUCCACACUCGUAAACCCAUCAAAUAUUUAUUUGCACUCUGCAGCAGACAACAUGCACAUAGGAGUACUCUUCUUGAAAACUAAAGGAAAGUCUCGUGGCACAGCUCUCAGGUUUUUGUUCAUUAGCGAACACAUUAAGCUCUAAUGAUGGAUGUCACACGUAACAUGCCAGUACAAUAAUGGUUGCACAUGAGUUUUGGAAAUUACCACGGCAACAGGCAAACUAACUACGUCGAUUGAUAAUGACAUGAACGAGGCACUUGCACNNNNNNNNNNCAAUGAUGGAUGUCACACACGUAACAUGCCAGUACAAUAAUGGUUGCACAUGAGUUUUGGAAAGUACCACGGCAACACGCAAACUAACUACGUCGAUUGAUAAUGACAUGAACGAGGCACUUGCACNNNNNNNNNNCUCGAUUGAUGAUGACAUGAAGGCACUUGCACACCACACCCGGUCUAUAAGUACCACCCCCAAACAACCCAAGAAAACCAUCCCAAGCUAGCAUACCCUACAAGCUUAAUUAGCCACAUACCAGCACAAACGAUCAGUAGCAAUNNNNNNNNNNUCUGUCCCAACAGCACUUGCACACCCCACCCGGUCUAUAAGUACCACCCCAAACAACCCAAGAAAACCAUCCCAAGCUAGCAUAGCCUACAAGCUUAAUUAGCCACAUACCAAAGGGCCUCCUGCCUGGGCUCACCGCACCGGCCACGUGGAGGCCCAUCUGUCCCGGUUUAUGCAAGAACCGAGACUAAAGGUUUAGGGCAUUAGUACCGACACUUUAGUCCCGGUUCAAAAAACGGGACAAAUGGCCCUCACGAACCGGGACAAUAGGUCCUUUUUCUACUAAUGGGAUAAGCUCUUUUGCAUUGUAGCUCGCUGGACGGUGUGGUUUAACUUUAGGUUUGUCCUUGUGAUGUUCGUGCUAUGCAUCAAGUGAUAGCUNNNNNNNNNNNNNNNNNNNNNNNNNNNNNNNNNNNNNNNNNNNNNNNNCUGGACACAUGGAAUCAAAACCGUACGAGACUCCUAUAUGUGUCUCCCGUGAACGUGAUGAUCAGGGUAAGCCAGCUCCUAGAGCUGCCAUGCCAGAUAUAUGUAUAUAUUCCUUUGUCCGAUCCGGUGCUCCAGAUUAUUAUGGCCACACUUGUAAGCCCAUCAAAUAUUUAUGUACACACAGCAGACAACAUGCAUAUAGGAGUANNNNNNNNNNAUGGACACAUGGAAUCAAAAUCGUACGACUCCUAUUUGUGUCUCCGUGAACGUGAUGAUCAGGGUAAGCCAGCUCCUAGAGCUGCCAUGCCAGAUAUAUCUAUUCCUUUGUCCGAUCCUGUGCUCCAGAUUAUUAUGGCCACACUUGUAAGCCAUCAAAUAUUUAUGUACACACAGCAGACAACAUGCAUAUAGGAGUACUCUUCUUGGAAACAAAAGGAAACUCUCAUGGCACAGCUCUCAAGUUUUUGUUCAUUAGCGAACAGAUUAAGCUCCAAUGAUGGAUGUCACACCCGUAACAUGCGAGUACAAUAAUGGUUGCACAUGAGUUUUGGAAAUUACCACGGCAAGAUUGAAACUAAUUACGUCGAUUGAUAAUGACAUGAACGAGGCAUUUGUUGGAAAUAAGUCGUGACGGAGCACGGUGCGACCGGCGUCGAUGCGUCGGGUCGGGUCCGUGACGGUGCGACCGACGUUGGUGCGUCGGGUCGGGUUCCGCAGGCUGGGUUACGACAACAUUGUGUGCAUGUACGUGUGGCGUGUGUGUAGUGCAGCGCAAAGCGUGCGUGGUCGCCAAGGCAGCUCGAGCUGGCCGUUAGCACGUUGUGCGCCUCGUGCGUGCUGGCCGGGCGGAUCGCUAGCUCUAGGUGCGUGCGUGCGUAGGAGACGUGGACGCUGCGUACCUGUAGGACUACAAAGCCGCGGACGCGAACAUGUAUUCAUCAGGGAAAGGAAGCAAAGUGGCUGUGUGUGCGGCCAGGCGUUAGUCGCCGGAAAAACUCCAGUGUGCAUUCUCCUUUCUUCUACCUCUGUCCAGUUGUGUGUGAGAGANNNNNNNNNNUCGAGUUCGUCGCUUGCCGCGCCGGGCAGGAGAACGAGAGGAAGAAGAAGAGAAAUGGAUGAUUUGGUUCGAAAUUUUCUAACUCCCGCUUAUACAGGUGGAUCUACAGUCCCGAUUCGUGGCUCGAUCCGGGACUAAAGAUCCUUUAGUCCCGGAUGGAGCCACGAACUGGGACUAAAGGCCCUUUUUCGGCUGACCAGAAGGCGGGAAGCAGGGGCCUUUAGUCCCGGGGCGUGGCUCGAACCGGGACUAAAGACCACUUUAGUCCCGGGUGGAGCCACGACCCGGGACUAAAGCCCCUUUUUCGGCUGACCAGAAGGCGGGAAGCAGGGGCCUUUAGUCCCGGGGCGUGGAAAGAACCGGGACUAAAGUUUUGCCUAUAUAAACCCUCGCCCCUGCCCACCAUAUCCCCUGUUUUUUGGUUGUUGAAGUGUGACCAUGCCAUGCUCUUGCCACUCUAGUUCAUGCACAUGACGUGUUCGAUGAAAUGCUCGAGCCACUCUACUUAAGCUUUCUCCUCUCCAAGCUCGACCUCCAAGCUCCAUUUUCCUUAAUAUUUGUCUAGGUUUGGCCGUGCACCAACUGCGAGCACCACCGUGGUGAGCCUCUUGUUCUUAUCUUCUUUUUAAAAUUAAAAAAAUCUUACUUGUAUGAAUUAUAUACAUACUUGUAUAAAUUACUCACUUUCAUUAUUUUUUGUUAUGAUAUAGUGCGAUGGUUUUGGUAUCCGCCUCCGUCGGCCCUCGUCCUGUCUAUGAUUCGGAUGUGGUAUAUAUUAUAUUUUAUAACUAUUUGUUUUAUUUAGUGUUUAUGACAAUUAUGACAUAUAUUUUUUAAUCUAGGAGGUAUGUGAACCGGAAAUUCCAACCCACAUAAAAAUUCUUGUCGAGAAGUUCAAUUUGGUUGAAAAAGAAAACAAAUACUUGAAGAAAAAAUUGAAAAUAAUUGAGGAUAAGAAUAUGGAACUGGAGUUGCAUGUCGCCGAUGUCAUCGAUGAUUGCAAGAUGAAGAUCGAUGCGAUGCGGUUGAAGAUGGAUGCAAUGCGCUUGAAGAUGGAUGAAAUGCGCUUGAAGAUUAGGAAUAUUAGAAAAUAUGCCAUUGAUAAGGAGGUUGGUAUCAUUAUGUUGUUGGGUCAAUUGUUACCUUAGUGCGAUUUUGAUCGCGUUUGUUGUUGCAUUUAAAUGUUUUACAUAGUUGUAUGUUGUUUCAUGAGAGAACUUUAUGUAUUUAUUUUUUGCAAUAAUAACAUUUGGUCACUACUGUUCUUUGGCUUUAAUGUGAUGAUGAACUUGUAUUAAUUUGGUCAUAUGUUUUGCAAUGGUUUUUUAAUAUAUUUGAUUUCAUAAUAGAGAUGAAUCGCCAAUGAUAAUAUUUAAUUUCAUAAUAUGGUUUUUUGAACUCCAUAAAAAGUUGAGAGGGCUACGACAAAAACUAGAUGCACUUCGUGUACAAAACGGACAAUCUCUCUCGAAGUAUCAGGGUUUCGAACGAGAACUUGUCUCUUACAAAGGGAUUUCAUUUUUGUGAACUUAUUUGAACUCCAUACUUUUUGGUGUGUUCAAAAUGCACCAUUCAAAGGCACAACACAAAAUUUCAACAAUUUCUGACUUCAUUUGGUAUAUUUCGUGGAUUUACUUAUUUGUUUUGAGCUAGUUGACCCUGAAAUUGAAAAGCACUACAAAUGAACUCUGAAAAUGUUGAAAGUUGGCAUGCUAUCAUCAUUUCACCCACAUAGCAUGUGCUAAAAAGUUGAGAGGGCUACGACAAAAACUGGAUGCACUUCGUGUACAAAACGGACAAUCUCUCUCGAAGUAUCAGGGUGUCGAACGAGAACUCAUCUCUUACAUGGAUAAUAUGAAAAUGAAAAGUGUUUGAAAUUUAGUACGUUCCAUACAUGCAUUACAUAAAAGGUUUAAUANNNNNNNNNNUUGGAUGCACUUCGUGUACAAAACGGACAAUCUCUCUCGAAGUAUGAGGGUUUCGAACGAGAACUCAUCUCUUACAUGGAUAAUAUGAAAAUGAAAAGUUUUUGAAAUUUAGUACGUUCCAUACAUGCAUUACAUAAAAGGUUUAAUACAUUAUUACAUUAUUGCACCAAUAUUCCUAUCUAUUAUUUCUGUUUUAUUCUGGGUCAUAGCCAUGGAGAAUCUUCAUCAUUCAUUAGGAUGCUUGGGUCAUUUUUCACUUUGAAGGGCGGAAUUUCAUGAAACUUAUUAUAAUCUUCUGNNNNNNNNNNCUUUUCUUCUGGGUCGUAGCCAUGGAGAAUCUUCAUCAUUCAGUAGGAUGCUUGGGUCAGUUUUCACUUUGAAGGGCGGAAUUUCAUGAAACUUAUUAUAAUCUUCUGACAUGUCUGUCUUGUCAUCUACUCCCACGAUGUUUCUUUUCCCUGAAAGAACCAUGUGGCGUUUUGGCUCAUCGGAUGAUAUCUUCUUUUGCUGAUUUCUUUUUCUCGUUAAUGUAGACAUGUCCUUCACAUAGAAAACCUGAGCGACAUCAUUGGCUAGGACAAAUGGUUCGUCCAUGUACGCAAGAUUGUUAAGAUCCACUGUUGUCAUGCCGUACUUUUGGUCUACAACUAACCCGCCUCCUCUCAGUUUCACCCAUUUGCACCGAAAUAAAGGAAUCAUAAAAGUAGGUCCAUAGUCAAGUUCCCAUAUCUCCUCUAUGUACCCGUAAUAUGUUUCCAAACAGUGCCCAUUCUCGUCUGUUGCAUCAAAGCAUACACCACUAUUUUGGUUGGUGCUCUUUUUAUCUUGGGCAACCGUGUAAAAUGUAUUCCCAUUUAUCUCAUACCCUUGCAAAGUACAUAUAGUCGAAGAUGGUGGCCUGGCCAAACAGUACAGCUCAUCUCCAACGGUGUCGUCAUUCAGGAGAUGUGUCUGCAACCAACUNNNNNNNNNNGAAAGUACAUAUAGUCGAAGAUGGUGGCCUGGCCAAACAAACAACUCAUCUCCAACGGUGUCGUCAUUCAGGAGAUGUGUCUGCAACCAACUGCCGAAAGUCUUCUCGUGUUCCCCUUUAAUCCAAGAGUCAGCCUUCCCCGGGUUUUCGGAGCGUAGAAUAUUCUUGUGUCUCACGAUAUACGGAGCCACCAUGGUGGAAUUGUGUAGAACUGUGUAGUGUGCUUGAGAGAAAGAAUGCUCGUCCAUACAUACUUUUGCUUUCCUUCCUAGUGUGCCUUUUCCUGUCAGCCUACCCUCAUACCGAGAUUCAGGAACACCAAUCGGCUUAAGGUCAGGAAGAAAGUCCACACAAAACUCAAUGACCUCCUCUGUUCCAUAGCCCUUGGAGAUGCUUCCUUCUGGCCUAGCACGGUUACGAACAUAUUUCUUUAAGACUUCCAUGGACCUCUCGAAGGGGAACAUAUUGUGUAGAAACACAGGACCGAGAAUUCUAAUCUCUUCGACUAGGUGAACUAGGAGGUGUGUCAUUAUAUUGAAGAAGGAUGGCGGGAACAACAACUCAAAGCUGACCAGACAUUGGACCACAUCAAUCUGUAACCCUGAUAGACUUUCUCGAUCGAUUACCUUCUGAGAAAUUGCAUUGAGGAAUGCACAUACCUUCACAAUUGCCAGGCGAACAUUUUCCGGUAGAAUUCCCCUCAAUGCAACCGGAAGCAAUUGCGUCAUAAGCAUGUGGCAGUCAUGAGACUUUAGGUCUUGGAAUUUUUUGUCUUUCAUAUUUAUGAUUCCCUUUAUAUUCGACGAGAAGUCAGUCAGGACCUUGAUACUGAAAAGGACUUCAAAGAAGAUUUCCUUCUCUUCCUUAGUAAGAGCGUAGCUGGCACGCCCUUGAAACUGCCCUGGAUGCAUGCCAUCUCUUCCUUUAUGACGUUCCUGGUCCUCCCGUGCUUCCGGUGUAUCUUUUGACUUCCCAUACAAGCCCAGGAAGCCUUGAAUAUUCACGCAGAGAUUCUUCGUCAGGUGCAUCACGUCGAUUGCCGAGCGGACCUCAUGGACUUCCCAGUAGGGUAGCUCCCAAAAUAUAGAUUUCUUCUUCCACAUGGGUACGCGCUUAUCAGGGCCGUUAGGAACAGGUUGGCUGCCAGGACCCUUUCCAAAGAUUACUUUUAAAUCUUUGACCAUAUCAAAUACUUCAGCACCAGUACGGAUGACAGGCUUCCCCCGGGGUUCUGCCUUGCCAUUGAAAUGNNNNNNNNNNAGACCCUUUCCAAAGGUUACUUUUAAAUCUUUGACCAUAUCAAAUACUUCAGCACGAGUACGGAUGACAGGCUUCCCCCGGGGUUCUGCCUUGCCAUUGAAAUGCUUGACUUUUUUCUUUAAGGGAUGCUUGGGCGGAAGAAAACAACGAUUGUACGGAUACACAUUCUUCCUACAGUUGUCGAGAUAUAUACUUUCUGUCUGAUCCAAACAGUGCGUGCAUGCAUUGUAUCCCUUGUUUAACUGUCCUGAAAUGUUACUAAGAGCAGGCCAAUCAUUGAUGGUUACGAAAAGCAACUCUCGAAGGUCAAAUUCCUCUUGUUUGUGCUCGUCCCACACACGUACACCUGGUUCGGCCCACAGCUGUAAAAGUUGAUCAACUAAUGGCCUUAGGUACACAUCAAUAUCGUUGCCGGGUUGCUUUAGACCUUGUAUAAGCACUGGCAUCAUAAUAAACUUCCGCUUCAUGCACAACCAAGGAGGAAGGUUGUAGAUACAUAGAGUAAUGGACCAGGUGUUGUGACUGCAACUCUGCUCCCCAAAAGGAUUCAUGCCAUCUGUACUCAGACCUAACCAUAAGUUCCUUGCGUCUGCUGCAAAUCUCGGGAACUCUCUCUUGAUUUUUCUCCACUGCCGACCAUCAGCGGUGUGCCUCAACUUAUCGUCUUUCAUACAAUCUUCCAUGUGCCAUCGCAACAACUUCGCAUGAUCUUUAUUUCUGAACAGACGUUUCAACCGUGGUAUUAUAGGAGCAUACCACAUCCCCUGGCAGGAACCGUCUUCCUGGGUGGCUCGCCCUCAAUAUCACCAGGGUCAUCUUUUCUGAUCUUAUACCGCAAUGCAGUCUAUACCGGGCAUUUAUCCAUAUUCUCGUACUUCUCACCUCGGUAGAGGAUGCAUUCAUUAGGGCAUGCAUGUAUCUUCUGCACGUCUAAUCCUAGAGGGCAGACAAGCUUCUUUGCUUCGUACGUGCUGGCGGGCAAUUCGUUCUUUCUUGGAAGCAUCUUCUUCAUCAGUACCAGCAACUUUUCGAAUGACGAGUCAGUCACACCGGUCUCUGUCUUCCACUUCAGCAAUUCCAGUGUGCUACCCAGCUUCUUCUGGCCAUCUUCACAAGUUGGGUACAACAAUUUGUUGUGGUCCUGUAACAUCUGCUCGAACUGCAACCUCUCCUUUUCUAUGUCGCAACCUCGCCGUGCAUCAGAAAUGACCCGGCCAAGAUCAUCAGCGGGCUCAUCUGGUUCCCGUUCUUCAUCCUGAUCUUCUUCUUCAUUGUCUUGCAUUGCGGUAUCAGCAUACUCAGGGAACAUAGAUCGGUAGUUGUCAUCAUCGUUCUCUUCUUCUUCAUCGUCGCCUUCCAUCAUAACCCCUCUUUCUCCGUGCUUGGUCCAAACAUUAUAGCCCGACAUAAAACCGGACCGAAGCAGGUGGCUCUGAAUGACUCUUGAGGAAGUGUAAUCCUUCCAAUUCGACAUUCAACACAUGGACAAAACAUAUAGCCACCACCAUGCUUGUUCGCAUUGGCUGCAUCUCGAAAAGAAUGCACGCCUUCUCUGUAAGCGGCUGUGCGUCGAUCACCGUACAUCCAUGGAUGGCUCAUCUCUGCGUUAUACGACAGUAUAUCAAAUACAAUCACGAUCCUAAAAAUUAGUACCGCACGAUCUAAACGAGGAAAUAUAGUUGCUAACCUUUUAGAAUAAGUAGAAAUAAAGAGGAAGAGGUUUAAGCGUGGCUUGGGCAUCUCAUAUCGUAGUUGUAUUCGGUGAACUGAAGCGGCAUCGCUCUAACACACAUUUCAACAAACACCUCUAGUGCAUAAAAAAAAGUGGAGAGCAAGCACCCACCCACAAUCCUCCAUCCAAUAAAAAUGCAACGAAGAGGGGAGAGGGGGGCUGUGCUAUAUAUAGGCAGAGGACUUUAGUCCCGGUUUGAGACACAAACCGGGACUAAAGGUGGCGCACAUGCGGGCUGCCCACCGCGUAGCCCUUUACUCCCGGCUUGGGACACGAACCGGGACUAAAGGCUCCUUACGGGCCGGGACUAAAGCCUCGAGGGAGGAUAUGAGAAUUGGGGCGACGUAGCCGGGCCUUUAGUUCCGGCCCAGAGGCAGGCCGGGACUAAAGGGUACAGGCCAAAGGCCCGGUUUCUACUAGUGUAUGUGUCCAGCCCUGCCAACGAGCCAGUAUAAUACACCAGAGUACGAAAGAUAUAAUAUACACAUGAAAUCAAAACCAUACAGCUCUUAUAUGUGUCUCCCGUGACCGUGAUGAUCAGGGUAUGCCAGCCCCUAGAGCUUCCAUGCCAGAUAUAUUCCUUUGUCCGAUGCUAUGCUCCAGAUUAUUAUGGCCACACUUGUAAACCAAUCAAAUAUUUAUAUGCAAACAGCAGACAACAUGCAUAUAGGAGUAUCUUCUUGGAAACUAAAGGAAACUCUCAUGGCACAGCUCCCAGGAUUUUGUUCAUUAGUGAAGAGCAGAUUAAGCUCCAAUGAUGAAUGUCACACACGUAACAUGCCAGUACAAUAAUGGUUGCACAUGAGUUUUGGAAACUACCACGGCAAGAAUGAAACUAAUUACCUCGAUUGAUAAUGACAUGAACGAGGCACUUGCACACCACACCCGGUCUAUAAGUACCACCCCCAAACAACCCAAGAAAACCAUCCCAAGCUACCAUAGCCUACAAGCUUAAUUAGCCAUAUACCAGCACGAUCCAUCAGUAGCAAUGGCGCCUUCCAAGCUCGCCUUCUUCCUCGCUCUGAACCUGGUCCUCCUUGCCGCCGUGCAGGGCUGCGGUCCCUACUGCCCACCGGUCNNNNNNNNNNGGCGCCCUCCAAGCUCGCCCUCUUCCUCGCCCUGAACCUGGUCCUCCUUGCCGCUGUGCAGGGCUGCGGCCCCUACUGCCCACCGGUCGUCCCCACCCCGCCGAUCCUCCCACCACCCGUGCCGUCGACCGACGGAGGCAGCUGCUCGAUCAACACGCUGAAGCUGGGCGUGUGCACCAACGUGCUGAACCUGCUGAAGCUUAAGAUUGGCGUGCCGGCGAACGAACAGUGCUGCCCACUCCUGGGCGGGCUCGCCNNNNNNNNNNGCUGCUCGAUCAACACGUUGAAGCUGGGCGUGUGCGCCAACGUGCUGAACCUGCUGAAGCUCAAGAUCGGCGUGCCGGCGAACGAGCAGUGCUGCCCACUCCUGGGCGGGCUCGCCGACCUCGACGCCGCGGUGUGCCUCUGCACCGCCAUCAGGGCCAACAUCCUCGGCAUCAAGCUCAACGUCCCCAUCGACCUGACCCUCCUCCUCAACCAGUGCGGCAAGAAGUGCCCAACCAACUUCACCUGCCCCAUCUGAUGCAUCCAUCCAUUGCAUGGGCUCCCUCGCUCGUGCAUGCAUGCUUGAUAAGCUCGUGAUUGAUCAUCAGGGUCAUUGUAUCCCGUUAUGGUAUCUAAAUGCACGAUUUGCAUAUUUGUAAAAGGAUAUACAUACUUGUACACGCACCUUGGAAUAUAAAAUUUGUUCAAGUUGGGGUUUUCUCUCUUCCCUCUCGGCUGGAACCCUAGCCCUCCUCGUCAAGAGAAAAGAUCAUCCUAGUGUAUGUAGCUUAGUAAAUAUACCCUAGCCCUCCUCGGCACAAAAAAUCUUAUGUAACUUAGGAACAAGGCAGGAUCUAAGAAUCAUUUUUNNNNNNNNNNCAACACGUUGAAACUGGGCGUGUGCGCCAACGUGCUGAACCUGCUGAAGCUCACUCCUGGGCGGGCUCACCGACCUCGACGCUGCCGUGUGCCUCUGCACCGCCAUCAGGGCCAACAUCCUCGGCAUCAAGCUCAAUGUCCCCAUCGACCUCACCCUCCUACUCAACCAGUGCGGCAAGAAGUGCCCCGCCAACUUCACCUGCCCCAUCUGAUCCAUCUAUCCAUGGAUUUACUCGUAGCUAUAUAUUGCAUGUCAUACGCGCGCACCAUAUGUCAGGACUUUGCAUGGGCUCCCUCGCUCGUGCAUGCAUGCUUGAUAAGCUCGUGAUNNNNNNNNNNNNNNNNNNNNNNNNNNNNNNNNNNNNNNNNNNNNNNNNNNNNNNNNNNNNNNNNNNNNNNNNNNNNNNNNNNNNNNNNNNNNNNNNNNNNNNNNNNNNNNNNNNNNNNNNNNNNNNNNNNNNNNNNNNNNNNNNNNNNNNNNNNNNNNNNNCUACUUGUACACGUACCUUGGAAUAUAAAGUUUGUUCAAGUUGGGUUAACUCGACUCGUGAUAUGCCAGCUUGAGUUGUAUAUUCAUGCAUGAUUGCAUCAAUCAUGAUCAGAUCCACAUCUUUCCACAUGCAUUAGCUACAUC
This 58457-nucleotide long non-coding RNA is filed under the name Hordeum vulgare. Its description in RNAcentral is "long non-coding RNA (HVUL_LNC020460)". Lineage: Eukaryota; Viridiplantae; Streptophyta; Magnoliopsida; Poales; Poaceae. The record is from RNAcentral.